Molecule: long non-coding RNA, 80480 nt
Filed under: Setaria italica (foxtail millet)
Lineage: Eukaryota; Viridiplantae; Streptophyta; Magnoliopsida; Poales; Poaceae
Description: long non-coding RNA (SITA_LNC006295)
Source: RNAcentral
UGGUUGCACGCAGGAGAUCGAGCUGCGGGCGUACGGCCGGAUCGGAGGAGGACAUAUCAGCCGGGUUCCUGUUGGUUGUGUACUUGUGUUCCUGCCGGCGGAGAAGCAACCAUGGCCGAGUUACUGAUCGGGCCACUGAUCUCCAUGGUGAAGGAGAAGGCAUCCAGCUACCUGCUGGACCAAUACAAGGUGAUGGAAGGCAUGGAGGAGCAGCGCAAGACCCUGGAGCGCAAGCUGCCAGCAAUCCUGCACAUCAUCCAGGAUGCGGAGGAGAAAGGAGCCUCCCGACCUGAAGUUGCAGUUUGGCUUAAAGACCUCAAGACAGCGGCCUAUGAGGCCAACGACGUCUUUGAUGAGUUCAAGUACGAGGCGCUUCGGCGAGAAGCCAAGAAGAAGGGCCACCACAGCAAGCUUGGAAAUGAGGUAGCAAGACUCCUAGUCCCCGCUCGUAAUCCCAUUGUAUUCCGUUACAGGAUGGGCAAGAAGCUACGCAGGAUUGUGCAGACCAUCGAGGCCUUGGUCACCGAGAUGAAUACAUUUGGUUUCAGGCACUUGCAGCAAGCACAGCCAUCAAGGCAGUGGCGACAGACAGAUUCCAUAAUCAUUGACUCCGACAGAGAUAUUCUUAGCAGAUCUAGAGAUCGGGAGAAGAAGAAAAUCGUGGGGAUGCUCCUUGAUCAAGCUAGCAACAGGGAUCUCAUGGUUCUUCCAAUUGUUGGGAUGGGUGGGAUGGGCAAGACCACCUUUGUGUUGGAGUUGUUCUAAAUUCACUCCAGGAAUAAAGGCCGACCUUCCCGACCCUUGACACUCAGGGUCGGGCGAGGCGGAGAAUCUCCCGACCCCGGGACUCGGGGUCGGGCGAGGCGGAGCGUCUCCCGACCCAGGCUUGAGGUCGGGCGAGUCGGAGAUCGACCCUCAAGGGGUCAGGCGCAUCCGACCCCAGGCUUGAGGUCGGGCGAGGCGGAGUCCCAGGCGCAUCCGACUCCAGGACAAAGGACUCAGGGUCAGACGAGAAGGAGUUCCAUCCUUGUACGGGACCAAGAGUCCGUACAGCUCAAUACCCCCUGUCUGGGGUUUCGGUACUAUAUAUACAUACACCCUUGCUAGGGUUUUGGGUGGUGACAGAAGAGAUAGAAGAGAGAGAGAUUAUCAGAUUCUCUUGUAAGCCGCCAUAGGCGUGUAGCCCUAAACUCUUGAUAUAGUGAGAUUGUUGCCGGCUGGUGCCCGUGGUUUUUCCUCUUCACAUUGAAGGGGUUUUCCACGUAAAUCGUGUGUCUUCUUUUGUGGUUUGAUUCUUUACUUCAUAUUCCAUACGUCGUACCUAACAAGUGGUAUCAGAGCUUUGGUUGCUGUUUGGAUUUCAUGUCGACGUCGAUGAAGUUUGAUCUACCGCUGCUGAACUACGACACGCGGUUCUCUCUAUGGCAAGUCAAGAUGAGAGGAAUUCUAGCGCAAACUCAUGAUUAUGAUGAGGCGCUGGAUAGCUUCGGAAAGAAGACAAAGGCCGAGUGGACUCCAGAAGAGAUCCGCAAGGAUCAGAAAGCACUCGCCCUAAUACAGUUACAUCUUCAUAAUGAUAUUUUGCAGGAGUGUCUGAAAGAAAAAACUGCUGCAGAACUAUGGCUGAAACUGGAAUCGAUCUGUAUGUCCAAGGAUCUAACCAGUAAGAUGCAAAUGAAGAUGAAGCUGUUCACCUUGAAGAUGAAGGAGGAAGAUUUAGUGAUGAACCACAUCACUGAAUUCAAGAAGAUCGUCGCCGAUCUAGUAUCAAUGGAGGUGAAGUAUGAUGAUGAGGACUUAGGUCUUUUACUGUUAUGUUCUUUGCCAACUUCAUAUGCAAAUUUUCGUGACACCAUACUCUUGAGCCGUGAUGAACUAACCUUAAAGGAAGUUUAUGAGGCUCUCCAAUCAAGGGAGAAGAUGAAAGGUAUGGUGCAGACUGACAGAACGUCGUCCUCCAGAGGCGAUGCUUUGCUUGUGAGAGGCAGAACUGAUAACAGAUCCUCCAAUGAUGAUGGAAGAAAAAACUAUGAAAGGAGAGGCCGUUCAAAGUCCAAGCCGCAUGGUAACAAAAAAUUCUGUGUCUAUUGCAAGCUAACAAAUCACAAUGUUGAGGAUUGCAGAAAAGUACAGAAUAAGGAGAAGAAGAAAAACAAGUCGGCUGGUAAGGUCUCUGUUGCUGCUGCCGUGUCUGAUGAAGAAUCUGGAGAUGGUCUGGUGGUAUUUGCCGGUUGUGUUGCUGGUCAUGAUGAGUGGAUCCUUGAUUCUGCAUGUUCAUUUCAUAUUUGCAUUAACAGAAAUUGGUUUAGCUCUUAUAAGUCUAUGCCGAAAGGAGAUGUUGUGCGGAUGGGAGAUAAUACCCCGUGUGAUAUUAUGGGAAUUGGAUCAGUUCAGAUCAAGACUCAUGAUGGCAUGACACGCACUCUGAAAAACGUCAGGUACAUACCAGGGAUGUCCAGAAAUCUUAUUUCAUUGAGCACGCUUGAUGCAAAAGGUUACAAAUAUUCCGGUUCGGAUGGUGUUCUGAAGGUAUCAAGAGGUAAUCUUGUCUGCUUGAAAGGUGAUCUCAAUUCUGCAAACUUAUAUGUCCUUAGAGGGUGUACUUUACCUGGUUCUGAUUCCGCUGUUGCUGCUGUUACUAAUGAGGAACCUAGUAAAACUAACCUUUGGCAUAUGCGUCUGGGACAUAUGAGUCACCAUGGUAUGGCAGAAUUGAUGAGGAGAAACCUACUGGAUGGCUGCACUUCGAGUAAAAUGAAGUUAUGUGAGCACUGUAUUUUCGGGAAGCAUAAAAGGGUACAUUUCAACACUUCUGUUCACACCACUAAAGGUACUCUUGAUUAUAUUCAUGCUGAUUUAUGGGGUCCUUCCCGUAAGUCCUCGCUUGGUGGUGCUCGUUACAUGCUCACAAUUAUUGACGAUUACUCUAGAAGGGUGUGGCCUUAUUUUCUGAAACAGAAAGAUGAUACCUUUGCUGCUUUUAAGGACUGGAAGGUCAUGAUUGAAAGGCAAACUGAAAGGAAGGUGAAAUUGCUUCGUACUGAUAAUGGUGGAGAAUUUUGUUCGCGUGAAUUUAAUGAUUAUUGCAGAUCAGAAGGUAUUGUAAGGCAUCACACCAUACCCUAUACUCCACAACAGAAUGGUGUGGCCGAACGCAUGAACAGAUCCAUCAUAUCCAAGGCCCGUUGCAUGCUGUCUAAUGCCAGGAUGAGCAAGCGUUUUUGGGCUGAAGCUGCUAAUACUGCCUGUUACUUGAUAAACAGGUCACCUUCUAUUCCACUAAAUAAAAGAACUCCCAUUGAGGUAUGGUCUGGAACGCCUGCUGAUUACUCACAGUUGAAAGUUUUUGGAUGCACUGCAUAUGCUCAUGUUGAUAAUGGAAAAUUAGAGCCUAGAGCUGUUAAAUGUCUUUUCCUUGGUUAUGGUUCGGGUGUCAAAGGCUAUAAAUUGUGGAACCCGGAAACAGAAAAGACCUUCAUGAGCAGAAGUGUUAUUUUCAAUGAAUCUGUGAUGUUUACUGACAGCUUACCCUCAGAUCAAGUUCCAGACAAAGGACUGCAGCGUAUGCGCAUGCAGGUGGAGAACGCUCGUAAUGAUGUUGAUAACCCCGACCCCUUGGUCUCGGGGUCGGAUGCGCCAGACCCCUUGGCUCCAGGGUCGGCUGAUGCUCAAGCGCCAGACCCCUUGGCUCCGGGGUCGGAUGUUGCUGCGCCAGACCCCUUGGCUCCGGGGACGGAUGUUGCUGAUGCGCCAGACCCCUCAAUCUCGGGGUCGGCUGAUGCUCAUGAUAAUGUCCAGCAAACUCCAGAGGAGGAUCUACCCAUUGCUCAACGCAAGUCCAAAAGGACAGUUGCCCCUCCUAACCGCCUCAUUGAAGAGUGUAAUUUGUCUUACCAUGCUUUGAGUUGUGCUGAACAGGUGGAGAAUGUUCAUGAGCCAGCAACCUAUAAAGAAGCUAUUCAUUGUGGCGAUACUGAAAAUUGGAUUUCGGCCAUGCAUGAGGAGAUGCAAUCUCUUGAGAAGAACAGUACAUGGGAACUUGUACCUUUGCCUAAGAAUAAGAAGGCCAUCCGCUGCAAAUGGAUCUUCAAAAGAAAGGAGGGUUUAUCUCCAAGAGAGCCUCCGAAAUAUAAGGCAAGGUUAGUUGCAAAAGGCUACAGCCAAAUUCCGGGUGUCGACUACAAUGAUGUUUUCUCUCCAGUGGUAAAACACAGUUCAAUUCGCACUUUCCUUAGUGUUGUUGCUUCACAUGAUCUUGAGCUUGAGCAGUUAGAUGUGAAGACUGCGUUUUUGCAUGGAGAGCUCGAGGAGGACAUAUACAUGAACCAACCAGAAGGUUUCAUAGUGCCUGGCAAGGAGAAAUAUGUGUGCAAGUUGAAAAGAUCCUUGUAUGGUUUGAAACAGUCCCCUCGACAGUGGAACAAGAGGUUUGAUUCAUUUAUGUUAUCACACAGUUUUAAAAGAUCUAAGUAUGAUAGCUGUGUUUAUAUCAAGCAUGUUAAUGGAUCACCUAUAUACUUGCUGAUAUACGUUGAUGAUAUGUUGAUUGCUGCCAAGAGUAAGACUGAAAUAAAUAAGUUAAAGAAGCUAUUGAGUAGCGGUUUUGAUAUGAAAGAUCUUGGUAGUGCUAAGAAAAUUCUUGGUAUGGAAAUUAGUAGAGACCGAAAUUCUGGUUUGCUAUUUCUUAGUCAACAGAAUUAUAUCAAGAAAGUUCUUCAGCGUUUCAACAUGCAAGAUGCUAAGGCUGUAAGUACUCCUAUUGCACCUCACUUCAAGUUGUCAGCUGCUCAGUGUCCUAGUACAGAUGCAGAGGUCAAAUACAUGUCAAAGAUUCCUUAUUCUAGUGCUGUUGGGUCCUUGAUGUAUGCCAUGGUUUGCUCUCGCCCAGAUUUGUCAUAUGCUAUGAGUCUUGUUAGUAGAUAUAUGUCUAAUCCCAGCAAAGAACAUUGGAGGGCAGUUCAGUGGAUUUUCAGAUACCUCAAAGGCACAGCAAAUUCCUGUUUAAAGUUUGGAAGAACUGAUGAGGGUCUUAUUGGCUAUGUGGACUCAGAUUAUGCUGCUGAUCUGGACAGGCGAAGAUCACUCACAGGCUAUGUGUUUACUGUUGGCAGUUGUGCUGUGAGUUGGAAGGCUACUUUACAGUCGGUUGUUGCUUUGUCUACUACUGAAGCAGAAUAUAUGGCGAUUUGUGAAGCGUGCAAAGAAUUGAUUUGGCUGAAAGGUUUGUACGCCGAACUUUGUGGAAUUGAAUCUUGCAUAAGUUUGCACUGUGACAGUCAAAGUGCAAUUUACCUCACUAAAGAUCAACUGUUCCAUGAGAGAACUAAGCACAUUGAUAUCAAGUAUCAUUUUGUGCGUGAUGUGAUUGAAGAAGGUAAGCUAAAGGUAUGCAAGAUCAGUACUCAUGAUAAUCCUGCCGAUAUGAUGACAAAGCCUGUUCCUGUUACUAAGUUUGAGCUGUGCUCAGGCUUAGUUGGUUUAAUUGGAUAGUCCAAGAGACUAUUAUUGGCACCAGUGGUUUUUCCUGUCUUUGUUCUGUUCAGAAUGAAGGGUUGAUGAUACAAGAUGAAUUUGUCUCAAGGUGGAGUUUGUUGGAGUUGUUCCAAAUUCACUCCAGGAAUAAAGGCCGACCUUCCCGACCCUUGACACUCAGGGUCGGGCGAGGCGGAGAAUCUCCCGACCCCGGGACUCGGGGUCGGGCGAGGCGGAGCGUCUCCCGACCCCAGGCUUGAGGUCGGGCGAGUCGGAGAUCGACCCUCAAGGGGUCAGGCGCAUCCGACCCCAGGCUUGAGGUCGGGCGAGGCGGAGUCCCAGGCGCAUCCGACUCCAGGACGAAGGACUCAGGGUCAGACGAGAAGGAGUUCCAUCCUUGUACGGGACCAAGAGUCCGUACAGCUCAAUACCCCCUGUCUGGGGUUUCGGUACUAUAUAUACAUACACCCUUGCUAGGGUUUUGGGUGGUGACAGAAGAGAUAGAAGAGAGAGAGAUUAUCAGAUUCUCUUGUAAGCCGCCAUAGGCGUGUAGCCCUAAACUCUUGAUAUAGUGAGAUUGUUGCCGGCUGGUGCCCGUGGUUUUUCCUCUUCACAUUGAAGGGGUUUUCCACGUAAAUCGUGUGUCUUCUUUUGUGGUUUGAUUCUUUACUUCAUAUUCCAUACGUCGUACCUAACACUUUGUGCAACUCAUUUACAAUGACCCUGCAAUCGAGAAGCACUUUGAGUUUCGGAGGUGGUGCUGCGUGUCAGAUGAUUUCGAUGUCAGUACCAUUGCAAGCAACAUCUGCCAGACCAAUGAGAAAUAUCGUGAAAAAUCAUUGCAGGAGCUCCAGAGUACAAUAAGUGGGAAAAGGUACCUCAUUGUGUUAGAUGAUGUCUGGAAUCGGGAUGGUGAUAAGUGGGGAAAACUAAAGGCCUGCCUUAAGCAGGGUGGCAAGGGCAGUGCAGUACUAACAACAACUCGUGAUGCAGAAGUGGCUCGCAUUAUGACCAUGGGUGUAGCUGAAGCCCAUAAUAUCGAGAAUCUGAGUGACGAGCAUUUAAAGGAAAUUGUCCAGAGCAGAGCAUUCAGCUUGCAAAAUCCAAAUAUGGAAGAGCAAGAUGGCAUUCUCAGUGGAUUUGUUCGUCGAUGCGUUGGAUCUCCCUUGGCUGCCAAAGCCUUUGGCUCUAUGUUGAGUAACAGGACUAGUGUAAAUGAAUGGAAGGAUGUAUUAGCUAAAAGUGACAUUUGUAGUGAGAAAACCGGAAUUUUACCGAUCCUCAAGCUCAGUUUUGAUGACCUAUCCUCAGAUAUGAAGCAGUGCUUUGCAUUUUGUGCUUUAUUUCCUAAAGAUUAUGAGAUUGAUGUGGACCUCUUGAUUCGACUGUGGAUGGCACAUGACUUCAUACCUGUGCAGGAGGAUGACAAUCUAGAAACCGUAGGAAAAUAUAUUUUUGAGGAGCUAACUCGGAGGUCAUUCUUUCAAGAGGUCAGGCAAACACUUCAAUUUGGCUAUUUUGGAAGGUCGUCACUUCGUAAGUCAACCAUAUGCAAGAUACAUGAUCUCAUGCAUGACAUUGCUCUAUCUGUUCUGGGGAAAGAAUGUGUCACUAUAGUUGGUAAGCCGAGCAUCAACAAGGUGUUGCUAAAUCCGACCCGCCACGUCUUCUUAUCAACAAGGUGUUCUCAUUUCUGGAAAGAACAGGUUACAAGUCUACUAGAUCAUCUAUUGAAGAAACAAACUGCAAUGCUCCAUACGUUGUUUAUCAAAGGUUAUGGUCAACCCCUUGAUAUAUCAAAGUACACUUCACUGCGAGCAUUACACCUUCCAGCAUAUAUAUAUAUACCAUGUUCAGGACAGGAACAGCUUACAAGACACAUACAACACCUAAGGUAUCUUAAUCUGUCGUCACAUGAGUUCGAGAAACUUCCUGAAGGUAUAAGCAUUAUGUAUAAUCUACAAACGUUGGACCUCUCAUAUUGCAAAUGCCUUCGUCAACUUCCAAAGGAUAUGAAGUAUAUGGCAAACCUCCGACACCUCUAUACCCAUGGAUGCGAAUCAUUGACAUGCAUGCCUCCAGGACUUGGACAGAUCACUUCUCUGCAGAAUCUAACAUGUUUUGUUAUUGGUGAUGGCUUGGGAUGUAGUACUAUAGGAGAACUUCAAAACUUAAACCUUGGUGGAGAGUUAGAGUUAAGUGGUCUGCAAAAUGUAACAGAAGUGCUUGCAAAAGCUGCCAGUCUUGAAAAUAAAGAGAAACUCACACACUUAUGUCUCAAAUGGAAUGAUGAUGCCCGUGAGAAACCAGAUUCUCAUAAUGAGGUGUUAGAUGCCCUUAAACCUCAUCAUCGGCUGGAGAUGCUAGGCAUAAAGUCCUACAAAGGCACCAAUUUACCGUCAUGGAUAACAGAUCUUAGUCUGUUGCAGCACUUGACUGAGCUCCAACUGGUUGGUUGCACGCUGUGCGAGGAAUUUCCUCAAUUCUGCCAUUUCAAAACCCUUGAAGUUCUGUAUUUGAAAAAGUUGGACAAAUUGUAAAGCCUAUGCAGUCAUAUGGUGUCUACGCCAUUUCCAGCACUGAAGCAACUCCGGUUACAUGAUUUGGAGAGCUUGGAGAGAUGGGUCGCAACAGAAGGAAAAGAAGAUGAAUUAACCUUUCCUGUACUUGAGGAGGUUGAUAUAAAAAACUGUCCAAAGUUGACUAGCCUACCUGAAGCACCAAAGCUCAGGGUUGUAAGUCUGGAUGAAGGCAAGCCGCUGCUCUCCUUAGGAAUAGUUAAAUCAAGGCACAUGUCUUCAAUUUCUAAGCUAAUCCUGUGUGUCCGUGACACAGAAGCACUGCCUCAGAUAGAUUAUAAUUGGGAUUCAUCACAGAAACUGGAACUAUCCUUGGGUGGCACAGAAGCCGCACCUCUGUCACAUCUGAACAUAUCUGGCUGCAACUUUUUCUUCGUAUCAAGCCAGUCACAGCUAACACCUGGGGUCUGGAAAUGGUUUGAACAUCUUGCAGUUUUAGCAAUCAAAAACUGUGAUGUGCUCAUCUACUGGCCAGAAGAAGUGUUCCAAAGCUUGGUAUCUUUGAAGGAGUUGUGGAUUGAGUCCUGCAACAAGCUAAUAGGGCCCACACAAGCGAAAGGUGGCGAACCUACACAAACGACAGAUCAACUCCUGCCACAUCUAAACAGGAUAUGUAUACGCAGUUGUGAAAGCAUGGCACAGCUCUUCAUUCUUCCCCCAUCUAUCAGAAUUAUUGAUAUUAUGGAUUGCCCUAAGCUUGAGUUCAUAUGGGGAAAGGAGGAGCAUCUUGACACAUAUACAUCGUUGGAACAUUGCCGCGACCCUGCAUCCACUACUGGUACCCUAGAGCAAUCGCCGUUUCCAAUUAUUCGUCGUCCAUGCCUUGUACGUUUAUCAAUAAGAUUGUGUGAUAGCCUGGUAACACUUCCAAAUCUACCACCGUCCCUCAAGGAUUUAAGCAUCUACAGCUGUGAGAAGCUCUGCUCUGUGUCAGGAGACCUGUGUGCACUCGAGGAGCUACAUAUUUAUAACUGCAAUAAGUUACAGUCAGUCAAUUCCUUGGGAGACCACCCAUCAUUAGAAACACUGAUUCUUUAUGACUGCCGAUGCCUUGCAUCUUUAGGAUGUGAUGGUGGUCGUGGAAGUUACUCUGCUCUUCAGAGCCAUAAGAUCGAAGAGUGCCCAGCCAUAGACAUGAAGCAGUUUUACUAACGCCAUCAAACAGCUGCUUGACAGCUUUGAAUAUGAAGACGUAUCACACGUUCAUUCAAGCAGCUCUGAUGAAGGUACGACCUUUCACUUUCCUCUUAUUCAAUUUGUUUCCUUCAAAUUUCCCUGCUUUGCAUGCCCUCCUAUUUCACUCAUGUAACCCCACAUGCAUUUCAUUUUUGCUGUGCAGACAUGACCCAUUUGUCCUUAAAAAGCAUAAAGGAGGGCACUCACAUGUACACACGACUGCCAUCUGGAAGCUUCAUUAUUGCGAGCCUCUGCUAACGAUGACAGGCCUGCAAUGGACGACAAAAACGACAAAGUUUGUUUUCACGGCACUACCAGCUAGCUGCUGGUAAUGCUCUUGUCACUAAUGUACAGUACUCCAUUCUGUCAUCCAUGAAAGUCGUGGAGAAUGGUCUAUGAUGUUACUCCAUUCUGUCAUCCACGUGAGCCGAUGAAGCAGAAACAAAUGAUGAUGAUGAUGGAUGAUAUAGCUGCCGGGACCCACUGCAACCUCGUGCAUCAAUCAUGACGAUCUCUAACGGCAAAGGCAUGCAUCCAGUAUGGCCUGAUGAAGUAAUUUAGUCUGCCAAAUUUCUUUCUGCUCGUUGCGCAUAGAAGGCGUAUUUUCUUUUCCUUUUUUCCACCCGAGAAGGAAGAAGAAGAAGAAACUGCUGUGGCCAAUUCAAUCCGGAUCAUCAAAACAACAGCCCAUUCCAGACUAGAAGAAUUUGGUCACCAAAUUCGGAUGGAGGUAAAAAGUCACUAGUUACCUGCAGCACCGAAUAGUACUGGUUCGUUCAUUUACUGUUUCCAAAAACUUUCUGCUGAGAGUUUGUGCAUUGUGGUGACACUAAAUAUGCGCGUGCGCGGUUCGUAGGAUUCGAACCCACAACCUCCAACCUCGCGCGUAGCUUUCUUGCCAUCCCACCUACACACCACAUCUAAGUAUGUAGGGGAUCCUAUCCUUUUGUAUUAACUCGUGGGGGACCCUUUUAUCCCGGUUGGAAACACCAACCGCGAUAAAAGACCCCCUUUUAUCCCGGUUGGUAUUACAAACCGGGAUAAAAGGGUUCGAGGAUUUAAUCCUCUUCCAGCCACCUUCCAGUCACCUCGUUGGGGACCCUUUUAUCCCGGUUUGAAACACCAACCGGGUCAAGAGCCUUUUAUCCCGGUUGGUGUUUCAAACCGGGAUAAAAGGCCCCUCAGAGUCUUUUUUCCCACUAGCCUUUGCAACCGGGAUAAAAGGUCCCGGUUGGUGAGCCCCCCACCAGUGACCGAGUUUUAAUCCCGGUUGGUGAACCUUUGUCCCGAGCCAACUUUAAACCGGGAUAAAAGAGGGCGCAUGGAAAGUUAAUUCUCUACUCGUGUUUGCGGGACACAAUCAUUUCAAGCAGGAGACGGUGGUUCAUCUGGAUGGACACCGGCCUCCGAUCAACAAUUUCCCCAGUUUCCCGUGUAGGCAAGGGGGAAGAUGGCAGGUCGCCAAGAAAUAGCAGCAGAUAUGUCCCUUGUCAAAACUUCAAGCCAGUAGUCUGUAAAAUAGAAAGAGAGAUUUGUUCCACUUAGGCUGCUACGCCUACAACAAUAAUGACUGUGGGGAGCUAGGAAAUAGCAUCAUGCUGAUAAGCCCAACAUCAUUGGAAUACAGUAACAGCGUACUGAAAACAAAAGAGGCUACAUCAUGGGCCAACUGAAAUUGUGUUAUCCAUAACAUUUUUUUUUAGAAAAUCCUCAGCCAUCAACACACGCAACCAAAUUAUUACAGAAUCUUAAGCUCAGUUGCUGAUUAAAAAAAUAAAAAGAGAAAAUAAUUAUAAGCAAUGUUUAAUGUUGCUUAUCCAUCCAUUUUUAAUAGAAACUUUCCAAAGCUUUCGUUGCUCUACUAUCGAACGGACGGUCUCCCUUAUGUCUUCACACCACGUUAAUAAAUCGCAAUUAAUAUGUUCUCCCGAAGGUAACCUUCAAAGCGAUGAAUGUAGAUCACCCACGAGCAACCGAGCACGCACAAGGGAUGCUGAAACACCACAUGGAUCUCCAUGACAACACCUUCAACAAGAACAUGACGCUAAUGACACCAUUGUCAUUGGCCCAAGUAUUGGGUUGGGUUUACACCCGGAGAAUUAAAAAAUCACCAUUCGGGGGAGGUGCAAACAAAGUCGCCUCCAAGGAGGCAACGGCACCCGCAAGCGUCACCAUCCACACUUUCAUCCCGACCUCCACCAUGCCAUGCCGGCAGCAGCCUGAGCAGAAAUCCACUCACCAAGCUGUUGAUGGUGCUGAGCAAGUUCGCAAGUGCCAGCCAUCAUUAUUGAGAGCCAGCUGCUGCCGCCGCAAACUCAUGCCCAUUGCGCUAGGGCUAGGGCGCCGGCCAUAGCAAGGCCUAGAUGCACGUGUUGCGUCAUGGCUGGCACCACACUAAGCCCACCAUGUCACCAGACUGUCACAGCCGGAAGGGCGCCGGUCGUCAGAUCCGACCCCCAGCGCAUGGAAUCCACCGCCUAGAAGCUAAUAUCUCUAGAGUGAAAAUCAACACUUCAGAAGAUCCCUGAGGGAGGGGGAACGUGAAGGAGAGGCUCCCCGAGUGCCGUCAGCAUCACCGGAGAACCCAAGCAGCCACAUAUCCAGGGGUCUCCGAGGGACCCGUCGUCGGAUCCGGUCACGCCAAGGGGAAGCACCAUCACGUUCAAAGGUUUCACCUCUAUGUGUAACGCUGCACUGUCCGACUGCCCGAGUACCUCCAGCAUUGGAUGGAGUGAUGGCAAUCUUAUUAGGGGGAAAAGAAACUACACACACCAAUGACAUAUGGUAACAGCUUACAAUGAUGGUAGUGGAUAAAAGAAAUGGGAGCACCAGAAACAAAAUCUAGAGUCUCAACAGUCAAAAUCAAAUUAACAAGAUCAAACAAUAAAAGUUAUGAGUACCACAAGAGCUUACACUGUCCGACUGUCCGAGUACCUCCAGCGUUGGUUGCAGAGCACCAGGGGGGGGGGGGGAUCAUUUCCAAAGUGGAUGCAUCAGUGGAGAUCUCUCAAUGUUUGUCACAUAAGCAGUGUGGUGCCCUCCAGGUGCCCAGGUUGGUGUGUUAAACUGCCUCCGAUCCACAGCCAUCUUAGAACACUGCAUUCCAAGUUUCCAACACUUUUCAUGGUCUCAACUCUACUUUUACAUUCUCUCAGGGGGUGUUUGGGAACACCGUGCUAAACUUUAGCACCUGUCACAUCGGAUGUUUGGAUACUAAUUAGGAGUAUUAAAUAUAGUCUAAUUACAAAACUAAUUGCACAGAUGGAGUCUAAUUCACGAGACGAAUCUAUUAAGCCUAAUUAGUCCAUGAUUUGACAAUGUGGUGUUACAGUAACCAUUUGCUAAUGAUGGAUUAAUUAGCCUCAAUAGAUUCGUCUCGCGAAUUAGACUCCAUCUGUGCAAUUAGUUUUGUAAUUAGCUCAUGUUUAGUCCUUCUAAUUAGCAUCCGAAUAUCCGAUGUGACCCUGCUAAAGUUUAGCACCUCGUAUCCAAACACUCCAAUGUGCUUUAUCUUGCUCCAAUCAUCUCCUGACUCGCUGCAUCUUUGCUUAAACCUCUUUGUGCAUUGUGACAGUGUCAAGGUAUGCAAAGAGGUCAGCCUCUCAAUGCACGGAGGCAAAGUUUUCAUCCAGUAGGCCUCUACUUUGAGCUCACGGAGAGAUGCCAUAUCUCCCAACCAUUCUGGCAAGGUUUCCAUGUCCUCACAGUUCAGUAUCUCUAGCUUCCUGAGGGAUUUCCAGCCUAGAAUGCACUUUGGCAAAGGUACAGGAUCGAUGCAACUGUCAACAGUUAAUUCUUCAAUGUCAAGCAGUUGAAGAGAAUCAGAGUCAGAAGAUAUAUUUUUGAUGUACUUGAUUUCCAUUUUGGAUGAUAAAGCAGAUGUUGAUAGCCCCAUGAUCGACUUGGUAGAAUGAUGGCCAAUUGAAUAAGAACGGAUAUUGUUUAAUUCCAGAUAUGAUAUACCUGGCACUCCAAGGGAUUGAUGGUUCGAAUCUUACAUUCAAACAACAGUCUAUCUCCACAGUAACUUCCCUACUCUUACUAUUGUAACUCUUCUGAGAUUUUUCACUGGCUGUGUGAUCAAGAUGCAUAUCGAUGAUUUGGCAUAUAGGUUCACUAUAACUUCACCAUCCCCCACAAGCAGAGACACCGGGACAGACGAGAUAUACAAGUCUUCAAGAGAUUGUAAAUAAUCUAAAUGGAGGUCACCAGAUUGAACAUUGAAAAGCUCCAAUCGUACAAGAUUUGGUAGCCAACGUAACCAGUUAGGAAAAUCACCACCAACAUAGUUCUUUAUGCAAAGCCUUUUAAGGUUUUCACGAGGCUGGAGCUCUUCUAACGCGACCUUGUUCAACACUGGCCCACUCCACUCCAAACUUAAAAAUUGGAGCUCCUCUUUUUGCGCCAAUUCAAUUAUGUUUGCGUCUGAGCUUGAUAGAUCUUCGAGAUGUUUAAUAUUAAGUUCAGUAAGCUGGUGACUUGUAGUCUUUUGUAGAAGAGCCAUGUCCUUUGAUGAACUGACGGCGAAACUAGGGCCCUGCUAUUUUACAAAAACAAAGAAAAUGAAAAAUAAAACAUUCUGCUUUAGUCAAGAUGGCAUGCAUACUAUAUAAAACCAUCUCUAGGUGCAAACAUGCAGCUUAGAGCAUCUCCAAUAGUCAUCUAAUUAAUGUUUCUAGAUAACUAGUUAAUAGGGAUAUCCCGAGUUGCUUUUACAGUCUUCUAUAACCUCAUCCCAAUCUAACUACCGUUGUUGGGAGAGUCACAGCUCCUCAUUUAUUUGGGGAGUUGGGGUGAAUUAUUUGUCGAAUAAUUAUUGUAAAAAAGGAAAGGUAAAGGGAGUGUGUUAGAGCACUAUUUUUUCACAAACUCUCCAAAUAUGGUAGUUGUAUUGGAGCACUGAAUAGUACUGGUUCGUUCAUUUACUGUUUCCUCAAACUUUCUGCUGAGAGUUCGUGCAUUGUGGUGACACUAAAUUAGCUGCUUAAUCUGCUGCAGGACAUCAAGCAGUGGGCGUAUGGCGCACCUAUCAGCUGGGUUCCUGUUGGUCAUCUUAAUUCUUGCUUGUGGUAGAGCAAACCAUGGCCGACUUAGUGAUCAGGCCCAGGGCCGGCUCUAGGGGAGCGGCAGGCCGUGCGACCGUCCGGGGCCCAUGAAGCUGCGGGCCCAAAACCAUAUAGGUAAUCAAUACAUAUAAUUUGGUUGGUGGACUUUGUUUCGGCCUUUCUAAAUGGCCCGCGUAACAACUGCGGCCUGCCUCCGUCCGUGCCAAAUCAGGCCUACCAAAUUGCUCCAUGACUAUGCUGUCCCUGAUUCUGUAUACAUAUACGCUCCUGACUCCGUGGUUGUGCUGUCGCUGAGCACCGCGUCUGGAGCGCGUCAGAGGAUAUAGGCGAGCCGCGAGCACCGUUAGGGUCAGAGGCGAGUGCUUAUUUGAAGUUCAAUCUUUGUUUUCUUUUUCGCCAAUUUCGUCAAAAAGCAAUCAUUUAAUUAAUAUUAUUUCUUUCGUGUAGUAAUUCCAUUCUUCAUCAAUUGCGUAGAAGGAGCAAUGCCUUACGACAUUGAAGGAGAAUCUUGGUAAUUCUAUCGUCAAUUGCAUAUCAGAUUCUCUUAACUAUUCCAAUGACAGUAGUAUCAGCCGAAAGUAGUUUCUCCAUUUUGAAACUAUUGAAAAAUUAUUUGAGAUCAACUAUGUCACAAGAAAGAUUGAAUGGCUUGGCUAUGUGCAAUAUUAAGAAGGAUGUUUUGGACGACAUUAAUCUUGAUACUGUUCAUGAAGACUUUGCAUCAAGAAAUAUAUCCGAAGAUGUUUUUCUACAAAGCACUAAAGCAUUAUAUUUUUAUUUGAGAUAAUCAUAAUGGUUAUUGUUUUUAGUUUUUUUGUUACACUAUUAUUAUGUUUUAUGAGAGAUAUAUAUUGCAAAAAUGAUGCGUAGCUCUCCUGAAUAUAUAUAUAUAUAUAUUGCAAAAUAAUUUUUAUUAUUCGUAUUAUAUACUUUAGUUUUGAUAUUAAAAAUAGUUCAACGGGUCCUUAUGUUUGCCCAAGGGUCUUCAAAAUUAUAGAGCCAGCCGUGAUCAGGCCAUUCAUCUUCAUGGUGGAGAAGGUGAUCGAAGGCAUGGAGCGCAAGCUGCCAUCAAUCCUGCAUGCACAUUAACAAGGAUGCGGAGGAAAGAAGAGCCUCCCGACCUGAAGCAGCAGCUUGGCUCAAAGACCUCAAGACAGUUGCCUAUGCGGUGCUGGCCGGUGGCGCGAUCCAACGCUCUUGGGCAGCGGUAGCGAUGGCUUCCUGUUCCGCGGGCAGCCACAGCAGCGGCGACGGCGCGCUCAGCGGCCUCAACCCGUGCGCGGGCCCACUAGGAUUAAAACAAUCUAACACAUCCCAAUCUUAAGGAAGUGCACCAGUAGGUUCUUUUGUAUCACUUUUGGAUAGUCAUCGAAUUGCCGAACCUUUGAGCAGCGGAUCGACCCCCGCAUGCACUCAUGUCACACCCGAUUUUAAGGACAAAAUCGAGUGCAUUAAAUACAUGUGUGCCAGGAUCAAGUUACACACAUGUACGAUAAUAGUGAAUAACAAAGAUAGUGCUAAAACGAAUAAAGAGAGUAUUAAACAUUAUUACAUGACCGAAAGUCUCAAUAAACCAUAAGCCUAAUUUAUUAUGCAGCGGAACUCCAAGGACGACGACGACUCCACAGGCAGCUGACUGAAGAAACGUACGCCUAGAACUCCUCAAAGUCGUGUAGGUACUCCUCCCAAUUAGCUUAGUCUGAACAACGGUUUUGCAAGGGUGAGUACUGUAACAACUCUACCUAAAUUAAGUACUUUUAACUCUAAACCAGUGAUAAAUCCCUAAGUUAAGAAGUGAAAUGACCUUUAUAAACCUAAGAAGCUCGUUUUGGAGUUUGAAUUAAAGCUUGAAAUUUUGUAUACAAACCUGAGUUUCUGCCCAAGUAAGAGUUGUAAAACUUUUUAAUUCCAACAACUUUUGUUAAAGUCACUUUGACUAAUUCGGAGUGGAAGGAAGUCAAAAACAUCAACCAAAGCCAGUUUUUCUAAAGGACCCUGAAAAUCUCUUAAGUCCUGAAAUUCGAGUUUUCCUCCAUCUUGCAAGCUUUCAUCUCCUGUUUUCCCUAUCUAAACUCAAGUCAGGGCCUGAAUGAAAGUUGUAGUACCUCAAGAUUGUUCCAACUUUGUUACACUGAUCCAGAUCCAAAUCGGGCCCGAACUUGUUCAAAACUCCGGUCAAAGGGAGGUAAACCAGUCAACUCACCCCUGGUGCCUUAAAAAUCCUAAGUCUGGAAUCCCAGAUUUUUGGCUAACUUUGACCGGAAAUAUCUUUGAAUCCUUUCACAAUCUAAACCAGCACCUUAAACAAAGUUUGAAGAACAAUCAGAGUUGAGCAAGUUUGUUUAAGGGAGUUUUGGAAGUUGUGUUGAAAGAUUCGGAGGAAGGAUCACUCCAAAGCUGGUCGGGCUUGUUGCCCGAAGGGAGCCUCGACGCCCGCGCGCCAGAGCACGUUCACUCGCGCGCCGCGUGCCGCGUGGCCGCCGGCCACCGGCAGCUCGCCGGCACCCUAUCCCCAGCACGACAGCGAUAGGACGAGAGCCACGGCGCCCAACCCGCGCCCGCGACAGGACGGAGCGAGCGCAGGGCUAGCCAACCGCCAGCCGCGCGCAGGUCGCCUUCCGCCUGCCACGGCUCUGCUCCGCCAACCCUGUUCCGCCCGUCCGCUGAGAAAGCUGACACGCCCCCGACGUCCCGCGCCUCCGCCCGUUCGCCCAACCCCCACGGUAGCCCUUCCGUCUCGCCCGCCCGACAGACCGGAAGCCCUAGAUGUGCGCCGCCCAAGGCCAAUCGCCGCCGAAGACCACCCGGAGCUCCGCCUCCUCUGCCCAAUGGCGUUGUCGGCCAAUGGCCGCCUCGCCUGAGCACUCGCCGCUCCCGGCCUUAUCCUUUCCCCACCGGAGCCCCGCCUCGACCCUCCGCCCCACCACGACCCUAUAAAAGAGAACCCCCUCACCGGCAAUGCCACCCCUUGCCACCGCCUGCACCUGCGCCACCGCUUUCUCCUCUGCGCCCCCGCUUUCUCCUCUGCGCUACCGCUGAGCUUCCGUGGAGCUCACCCCUUUGCGCCACCCCACACUCCGGCGAUUUCGCCGCCACCCUCUUGAGAAAGUUCCCCUCUCCGCUCCAGCCGCUUCUUCCAACCCACCAGCCGCCCGCUCCUCCGCGUGGUACUCGAGCUUGCUAGUGUCCGCAAGAAGCACCGCCGCCGCCGGAGCACCGUCGAAGCAACGCCGCCGCCGGACCACCGUCGAAGUCUCGCUGCUGCCCAAGCCUUAGCGCGUACAACUUCCCGCCCCAGCCUACUCCUGUUCGGCCCCAAGGCUUCACCGGUAGACCUGGAGGUAAGUGACCGACCCCUUGUGUUCCGUCUCGACCGACCCCUUGUGUUCAGCCUCAACCGACCCCUUUUCUUUCCGUCUCGCCCGACCCCUGUCCUUUUUGUUUCGCCCGACCCCUGUCCUUUUUCGUUUCUCCCGACCCCUUUGUUUCGGUUCGCCCGACCCCUUUUCUUUUCCUCUCGCCUGACCUUUUUCCCGUUCGCCUCGCCCGACCCUGCCAAGUUUCGCCGACCCUUUCUCCGUCUCGCCCGAGGGCUCGGCUGUAACUUUUUCUUUGACCCGAGGGUAUCGGUGAAAUAUUUUCGGGGAUUCCUCUGUGUUGAGUCUGAGGACCUCGGUACGGUUUUCCUUAAACCUGAGGGUCAGACCCUAAGUUUCCCCUAAUCCGACCCUCUCAUCCUGAUCUCCUCCAACAGAAGUUGAACUCCCCCACCUUUCCUGUAGCUUGGCUACAAGUGUCCGUGUUAAAACAUUAGUGUGUUGAAAUAACCAUCUAAAAUGUUUAACCCCUGCAUUGCAUUUCCGUGUAGAGUUGAAUCUCGCCGAUGGAACGUACGAGCUUCACCCGGCACCGGAAGAAGACCCCGCCGAGGAACUGCAUCCCUUCGAAGGAGAGCCCGAACCGGAGCAAGACCCCGAGGACCCGCAAGCUUUUCCUGAAGGCAAGCCCCGGAGCAUAAAUUCCUAUCUUGAAUUCAUGCAAUAUUAUUGAUUACUUGAUUGCGCAUUUACGUUUCGAGGAGUUGUAAUGGAACCUUAGAUGCAUAACUUAGUACCUUAUUUUUGAAUACUAGUUGCUAAGGCCGAGUAGUUGCAUUGCUUAAUAGGUUCCGGUAAAAGUCGAGUGAUCUCCUGUCACUCGCGAGUUAUAGGAGUUGAAUGUUUCAGAUAUGUCGCAACUAUAAGGACGACGGACGGGGUCAGGCUUAUGUUCGAUACUUGGUGGAUUGCCCCGUCUGUCUAAAUGAAAAUGAACUAAGGUCGAAACGUGUCGGCGUUCGUGAUCAAGUGUUUGAAAGUACUAAUCUCAUACCUAGUAUGGGAUGGGGAAGCCUAGUACCUGAUUGAAUUGGGGCGUGGCAUACCCUCCGGCUGUCCUUGGAACGUCGUUCCCAUGGUGCAUCAUGUGGGUGCAAGUGCGGUCACAGUGCAGCAAUAGGCCGGGACUGUGGAGCAUUGCAUGCCAAAGGAAGUUGGCCCUGACACGUGCCUAAGGGAUCGAUGGGGACGGCUGAUAAAUGAAGCGACCCUUCGUGGUGCGCGGAUGUCAUGAGAUUAGGUUUGCCAUGCAUGGUUAAUAAAUUCGAAUCGAUUCAUCUGCCUCUCAUAGAUUGGGACUACUUGAUCGCUAUUCUGCACUGAGUAAAGAUGGAACAUGAUGAUGAUUUUAAUCUUGAUGCUUGUUAAGUAAUUGCUUGGAAACCAUGUUUGUUUAGUAUAAGUUGCUAAUCUGGAAUGGAUAAAGAACAUAGAACAUGAGCUAAAAUGUUGAAAGUAAGGACUGACUUUAGACGCUUUUGGCAAAGAAAACCCCAGAGCCAGAAAGCCUUGCAUGUCUAGGUCUCGGUCGUGUCUUUUCGACAGGUCAGUCUUGCGGAGUACUAGUUGCUCAGCCUUGUUGUGGCUAAUCUUUUUCAGGUAAUGUCAAUAGUUUGGGUGUUGGUACCACUUGGCCGACCCAGCUUCCUCCAGGUUGGACCGUCGAGUGGGAUCCUUCCUUGGAUGGCGAAGGAAGAAAUUUUUGAUGUCAUGAACGGCUCCGUCGUGAUGUCAUGUAUCGACGUUUAGUUUUCGCUAUUUUCCUUUGACUUCGAACCAUGCAAAUUUCGAUUUGAAUUUCAGAAACUCUGAUGUAAUAAAUUGUUGAACUAUGUUGUCAUGAUGGAAUGUUGUAACCUCUGUGCUACUCACCUUCGCGUGAGCGAUGCUUCUCGAUCCUGUUUAUGUGGUUUAUCGGAGGAAAUCCGACGGUCGACCAAGUUGACUUGCUUAAAGUGCAUAAUCGCGUGUCAGACGACUUCAAUGCAUUUUAGUCAGGUUAAUUUGGGCGGUUCCGCCACAAGUACACUUAUGGUUGGUACUCAACAAGUCGUGGGGAAUAGUGUAGUGUAAGGCAAAUCAAGGUACGGCUAAGGCAUAAUUAGCAUUCGCUUUUAUUUAAGUUGGUCAAGUUUUAUUAGCAAUUAACUAAGUAUAAGUUCGUACCACUCGAAAUUAAACAUGAUCAUAAAUAAAGUAAACAGCAUAUGCAUGAAAUGACAACAAGUUAAAUCCAUCUUCCGAUAAAUAUUAUCAUGUGAGGGUCCAGGCCUCUCUUAACCGUGAGCACGGCUGAUCGAUCAGUUUUACACUCUGCAGAGGUGGCACAUCUUUACCCACAAGUCGCGUAAAAGUUCAAAAGAACUUUGGACCCAACCAUGCGGUGUUUGCAAGGCACCAUACCACACUUCUGAGGUGUGAUUGCAUAGGGACGCUACGAGGCCUUUACAAAGAUUCAUUAGUCAGUGGUAACCCGCUAAGGUUUCGAUGUCUGGCGUGCACCACCCAUCCCAGGCAAAAAUGCAACGACUCAGUCCCCCCUCUUGCCUCAUCAUGAGUAAGGUCACCCUAGACUAAGGUUUCUAAUUAUUCAGCCAAGACCAGAGCCAUUUAGUCUUGUGGUAGCACUAUUUUCCUGGGUGGUCGCUCCAUGUUACGAUUAAUAAUACAUGAUCUUAUAUUAAUGAAAGGUAUAACAGAAGUAAAGCAAGAUUAAACAUUGUUUUUAGUUAAACCACCAUGUACCAAGUAAGCGCUAAGCAUGAGCUACCCAACAAAAAGUAAACCGGUUGAUCAAGGCAAAGGUAAUUCAAUCUAGGCGAACCUUAAUUGGGACCCAUCAAUUCAAUCUUAACAUGUGCAUAGCAUAAAUGUUGAGUACGAGAAAGUAAAGGUGUAUAGGAUGAAAAGUAGUGAUCAAGGACACGACUUGCCUUCUUGGCCUUGCUCCUACUGUUCGUACUCCUCGAAGGCUUGGUCUUCAACUCCCUCGAACUGCGGGACGUCUACACGCGUCACACGAGCACAUACAAGCAAACAUGGGCAAAAAGUAAGAAACAGUACACCAAUCACAAUUAAACAGAGAAAACAAGCUUGAAAAGUUGAUCUACGCUUUAAAACGAACACGUGGAUAUAAAGAACGCGAAAAACGGAGUUAAGAUGCAAAAGAGAUGAUUAAAACAAGAUCCAGGGGCUUUUCUGUGAGAAAAACAAAACUUUUAGGGCAAAACCGCAAAAACCGAGGGCUUAUACGUAAAUACGCGUAUAAACCAAAGGUCUAACGCGCAAAAACUCCAAAACGGACGGCGGGUUGAUUUUUAGAAAACUCGGGGUUUAAACCGAAAAGCACGAGGGCAGAUCUGUGAAUAUUUUCAACGCGAUCUGGACCGCGGGUUGAUUUGCGGAAAAGGCAGGGGCUUAAGAGCAAAAUGGCGCGGUGCGGCACGGUUGACCGUUACGCGGUCUUGUUUGACUCGCUAUCGGCCGUCGGAUUUAGGUCCGACGGUCACGGUCGGCGAUGACUCGCGACGGCGACGGGAAAAGGGCAGCCAGCGGCGGUGAGCGACGGCGAGGUCGCCGGAGUAGGCCGAAACAACGCCACGGGGCUCGGUUUCGCGCGCGGAAAGCACCAGAAGAGAGCGGGGAACAUGGCGAACCCGUUUAGUGCCUUGGCGGGAGCCACGGCGCGGCGGCGCUCACCUUUUGGCGGCGGCGUGCGGCGGAGAGAGGCAGCGGCGCAAGAGCUUGCGGCAGCUAGGGUUUGGAGGGUGCUGGCACGGGUGCUCGUGGCCGGGGGAGGCGGCAGCUUAAAUAGGGGCGGACGGCUUGGAGAUAGAGGCGGCCCCGGAUUCAAACCGGUCGGGGAAUACGGCACCCACCCGGAGAUCUCGCGCGGCGGUUGCGGGCGGAGGAGAGUCUGGUCGGAGGUGGGAGACGAUGGCGGGUCCCACCUGUCGGCGGUAGCGGGCGGUAGGCGGGCCGUAGCGGCUGUGGGCUGGCGCGCGCGUUCGCGGGCCGCGGGAAAGGGGCGAGCGGAGAGCUUCGCAGGCCGGCUGGAGGUGGAGCGGUGGGCCGCACGGGCAAGGGGGUUCGCGGGCCGGCGAAGAAAGGCGGAGCGGGCCGAGCGGCUGGCACUGGGCUGCCGGCAGAGGAGGAGGCGCUAGGCCGAAAGAAAAAGAAGAAGAGAAAGGAAAGCAAGGUGCGGCCCAGGAGGAGAAGAAGAAAAAGAAAAAGAAGAGGGAAAAGGAAAAAGGUUUUGGAGAUUGAAUUUAAAUUUGGAAUUCAAAUUUUUGAUUCAAACCCAAGCAAUCAAAAUAAAUGCAGCAGCAUGAAUGCACAAUUAACUCCUAUGAUGAAUUAAUUAAAUUAAAGAAAAUGAAAUUAAAUGCCUAGAAUUUAAAUGACACCCUAAUUUGAGUAAAUUUUAAUGAAUUUGAAUUCUCUAAAAUUUUGGGUGUUACAACUCAUGAAACUAAAAGGGAAAUCCUUUUCUCAUAGCUGGAUAAUAGCGCGCGGCGACAGAAAAGCCAGCAUCGUUUCUGAUCUCAUUCACGUAUAUACAGCCAGUUGCUCGCUUCCGACCAUGCAGCUGCAUGAAGAAUAUGGACCGAAUGUUUAGUCAGUAAGCAAACACUGCCUAAAGUAAGUUUACAGAGCUACAUGCUGGGCAUUUCAGACUUGUUUAAACAGAGGUGCAAACAAAGUCGCCUCCAAGGAGGCAGUAGCACCCGCAAGCGUCACCGUCCACGCUUUCGCCCCGACCUCCAUGCUAUGCCAUGCCAGAAGCACCAUCACGUUCAGAGGUUUCACCUCUAUGUGUAACGCUGCGCUAUGGAGAGAUGACAAUCUUGGGGGGGGCGGGGGGGGGGGUACCAAUGACAUAUGGUAACAGCUUACAAUGAUGGUAGUGGAUAAAAGAAAUGGGAGCACCACAAACAAAAUCUAGAGUCUCAACAGUCAAAAUCAAACAAGAUCAAACAAUAAAAAGUUCUGAGUACCACAAGAGCACCAGGGGGGGAUCAUUUCCAAUGUGGAUGCAUCAGUGGAGAUCUCUCAACGUAUGUCACAUAAGCAGUGUGGUGUCCUCCAGGUGUCCAGGUUGGUGUGUUAAACUGCCUCCGAUCCACAGCCAUCUUAGAACACUGCAUUCCAAGUUUCCAACACUCUUCAUGGUCUCAACUCUACUUGAACAUUCUCAAUAAGCUCUAUCUUGCUCCAAUCUUCUCCUGACUCGCUGCAUCUUUGCUUAAACCCCUUUGUGCAUUGUGAUAGUGUCAAGGUAUGCAAAGAGGUCAGCCUUUCAAUGCACGGAGGCAAAGUUUUCAUCCAGUAGGUCUCUACUUUGAGCUCACGGAGAGAUGCCAUAUCUCCCAACCAUUCUGGCAAGGUUUCCAUGUUCUGACAGUUCAGUAUCUCUAGCUUCCUGAGGGAUUUCCAGCCUAGAAUGCACUUUGGCAAAGGUACAGGAUCGAUGCAACUGUCAACAGUUAAUUCUUCAAUGUCAAGCUGUUGAAGAGAAUCGGAGUCAGAAGAUAUAUUUUCGAUGUACUUGAUUUCCAUUUUGGAUGAUAAAGCAGAUGUUGAUAGCCCCAUGACUUGGUAGAAUGAUGGCCAAUGGAAUAAGAAUGGAAAUUGUUUAAUUCCAGAUAUGAUAUACCUGGCACUCCAAGGGAUUGAUGGUUCAAAUCUUACGUUCAAACAACAGUCUAUCUCUAAAUAUUGAAGUCCAGGAAAUAAUGUGCGCUGGUUGGAGGAUUCCCUGCCACUAUCACUGUGUCUUCCUCCCUGCUGCUCUCUUUGAAAUACGUUCUUAUCAUCCUUCUGCUCAAUACAAGGCAACGUCGAUGUUUUCCACAGUAACUUCCCUACUCUUCCUAAUGUAACUCUUCUGAGAUUUUUCACUGGCUGUGUGCUCAAGAUGCAUAUUGAUGAUUUGUCAUAUAGGUUCAGGUCAUUUGGCCUAUUAAUCACCGGGAAAGACGAGAUAUACAAGUCUUCAAGAGAUUGUAAAUAAUCUAGAUGGAGGUGACCAGAUUGAACAUCGAAAAGCUCCAAUCUUACAAGAUUUGGUAGCAAACGUAACCAGUUAGGAAAAUCACCACCAACAUAGUUCUUUAUGCAAAGCCUUUUAAGGUUUUCAUGAGGCUGGAGCUCUUCUAAUGCGACCUCGUUGAACACUGGCCCACUCCACUCCAAACUUAAAAAUUGGAGCUCCUCUUUUUGCGCCAAUUCAAUUAUGUUUGCUUCUGAGCUUGAUAGACCUUCGAGAUGUUUAAUAUUAAGUUCAAUAAGCUGGUGACUUGUAGUCUUUUGCAGAAUAGCCAUGUCGUCUGAUGAACUGACGGCAAAACUAGGGCCCUGCUAUUUUACAAAAACAUAGAAAAUCAAAAAUAAAACAUUCUGCUUUAGUCAAGAUGGCAUGCAUACUAUAUAAAACCAUCUCUAGGUGCAAACAUGCAGCUUAGAGCAUCUUCAAUAGUCAUCUAAUAAAUGUUUUCAGAUAAAUAGUUAAUAGGGAUAUCCCGAGUUGCUUUUGCAGUCUUCUAUAACCUCAUCCCAAUCCAACUACCGUGUUGGGAGAGUCACAGCUCCUCCUUUAUUUUGGGAGUUGGGGUGAAUUAUUUGUCGAAUAAUUAUUGGAAAAAAGGAAAGGUAAAGGGAGUGUGUUAGAGCACUAUUUUUUCACAAACUCUCCAAAUAUGGUAGUUGUAUUGGAGAAUAGGGAUCUGCUGGAGAUACUAUGUAAACCAUUGGACAAUUGAAUGCUGAUGAGGCUUAUGGAAACAGAGCCAGCCAAGGAUCCCUACCUAACUCUACCAAUCACGGGUAUGCACAGCAGAUAUGCUGGCAACAGAUCCUACCAGUAAGUUUUUUUUUCCAAAAAAAACAUAUCCUACCACGUACACAGCACAAAAAUACAAUUCUAAAAAAUUUGAUGUUCGCCUGGUAUAUCCCAAAAGUUGCAUGACUAUUUUAAUUUGGAACUUGCUUGGCUACUCCUUCCAUCCCAUAUUAUAGGUCAUUUUGGCAUUUCUAGGUUUAUGAUUUUUUGUUGUACACCUUGAUGUAUAUUAUAUCUAGAAGCUAUGAAUCUAAAAUUGUCAAAACAACCAACAAUUUGGAUAAUUUGGGAUGGAGGGAGUAUUUUAAUUUGGAGAAUCAGGUCUACUAUAAGUGCCACAAUUAAGCAAGGUAGUGGCAUAUCAAACAAUAAAUUAAAUAUUUAUGUUAGAAAGGGAUUCCAUUAAUUCAUUCAUAUAUACGAUAUUCACUCCCUAGAAUUAAUGAAAAUACAGUAACAAAUCACAUGCCUGCAUGAUAGAUUGAGCCUCUUGUUAUGCAACCGUAAUUUAUAGUAUACAUUGUAGAACAAAAAAAGUAAUAAUUAAAAACAGUGCAUAUUACCUCAUGUGCAUAUACAUGUUUGAUGGGUUUAAUCUUGUCGUAGUCCUCUCCUAAACGGCUGCAGCAUUCACGCAGUUUGUAAUUGCACUUCUUAAGAGUUAAUGUCUUCAAGGAGGUUACAUCCUUGAUGGAGUGAGGCAAACGCUGCAGUUUGGCAGAAUAAACUUCUAGAUGCUCCAGAGAUGCCAGAUCCCCCAACCAAUCUGGGAGUGCCGCAAAAUUACAACAACUGUCCAAUAUCUGCAAGCUCCUAAGGGAUGAUCUCCGGCAAGGUGAUCAGAUCACUGUCAGAUUUAAUAGUUAAAUACCACAAGUCGGUGCUGACGUAUUGGAGAAAUUCUGAAGCGUCAGAGAAGCCAAACAUAUUUGGUUCCAAUUCAAGUGUAAAAAGGUGUGAAGAUCCAACAAGUAUCACGGGUGAUAGUUCUACCUUACUGCAUGAUGCAACUAUAUGCUCUAUGUAUCCUUGAAAAGCUGAACCGAGGGUCAACGUGGAAAUAUUUCAUCUCCUUGCACCUUCUGUUCAUCAUCAUCCCAAGACAUCUCUCUAGCAGACAGCUCCAAGUUCGUGGACAGCACCUCCAAAUUCUCCAUCUUAUUAAUACAAAGUUCCCUUAAUUUCCUGAAUGGGUUCCUGCCUCCAUAAAAACUAGUAGCCACUUCUCGAAUAUUAGGCAUAUCUGAAAUGUGCAGUUCUUCAAGGUUUGCUAACUGUCCUAGUGAAGGGAGGCGUGCGCACCUUGGCUGCCCAUCAGCACUAUCUUCACAAGAUUUGGAAGAUCGAGAUUUGGAUCGCUCAUCCAGCCACAAAAUGUGGCAUCUCCAUAACCUUCUAUUUCAAGUGUUGAUAGGUUAGGAUGAGGAUGGAGUCUUUGGAGAACUGAAGAAUCAUCAGCUCUGGAGAAUUUUUUGCUCAGAUUAAGAUAUACAUUGUUAGGCCUAUCGUCUGAUCCAGAUAAACCAUUGCUGGAAUAAGAGUUUGCGUCAGCGUGCGCAGCUGGUCAUAUGUAGCCAACUCUCCAAGGCCAACUUCAUCAGCGCUAUUCACCUUCUCAAGAUUUGAAAUAAAUAGGUCUGUGAUUCCAAAGUCUGUAUUUUGACAGAGGAGAAAAUCACUUUCUUGUACUGCAAAAUACACUCCCUGUGAAGGAAGAGACAGAGUUAGACUAUUACCAAAUGCAACGAAAAUAUUUAUGCAUCCAUUCUGUUCUAGAUAAGAAUUAGAAAAUGUCCAUUGUAAAAGAGGAGUAACAAAGCACAGCCAAGAGAACUUACCUCAUUUAUCUUGAUGCAUUGAAUGUGAGGAAUAGCCUGUAGGAUUGCAGCUUUGUCUCUGUCCAAGAAAUUCCCAGGAGAUGACAAAGUUAGCUUCGCCAAACGAUCCAUGCAUCUCAAUUCAUCAAAACGGUCAAACAUCUCGAGGCAAUCAAUUUCAAGCUCAUGUACUGAUUGAAUGCCAGGAAGUUUCUGAAGAUCAUAGCUCUUACAGUUCGAUAUCUUGAGUUUUUGGAUGGUUUGUGUCAAUAUAGGGGUUUAUGACCACAGAUUAAUCUUGGAUAAAUCACUCUCGUUGAUGAAUAACUCCUUGCUGUUGGGGAUUCUUGGAUAUAGUUCCAGAUAACCGCAGUGUUCUAUCUGCAGAUAGCAAAGCGGAGGGAAUUCUUCUUCAUCAGUGUUCAUCAGUGCGGAAGAAGAUACAGGAACGUGUGUCAUCAGUGUUCUCUUUUUAGUCACUCCCAAAAAUAUUUCCAUCAUGUUCCUAAACUUUGCUUUUCCUUUUCCUCGGGAAGGAUCACCAGACUGCGCCCUGAACAUUUCAAGCCUCUUGAAUUCUUCUAAAGGAUCUAUUUCCAUGUCACGUAUCUCUUCACCAUCUUGGCAAAACCACAAGGUGCAUCUGGAUGCUAGUUUAACAAGCGACAGUCGCUUUAGGUUUCUGCAUGGUGCUAAACAUGCUUCCAUAAGUUUAGGCAUAUUACGAAUUUCAAGCUCCUCUAAGUUUGAUAGAUUUCCUAGAGUUGGAAGCUGGUCACACUCUACGAGAUCAGACAAUACCAGUUUCACCAGAUUUGGGAGUGUAGAACAUAUCUUCCUCAUCCAACUAGGAAACAUACUGUAAUUAUAGCCCUUUAUAGUGAGAUGCUUUAAAGCUGGAUGAGGCUUCAAAUUUUCUAGCACAUCCAUUGUCGUCACUUUGGGUUCCUCUGACCAUUCUAAUAAGGACCACUCCAAACUCAAAGAAGCAAGCCGAUGUCUCCUUCCCAAUUGCACCCCCUUUGCUUCCUCUGCAGACUUCACAACCUCAAGGCAUUUGAUAUUUAGUUCACUGUUUGUAGAAUCAAGGAUAUUCUGUAGAAGGAUAAUGUUGCUGCAAUCACCACUGCUGCCACUUUCUGAGACCACAAAAUCCGGUAGGGUUAGUAGGUCACUGGAGAUGCCUUCCUUUCAGAACAGUGACAUCCCUCCAACUGAAAGGUACUCAAGACGAUGCAUGUUUUUCAAUGUGUCAUGCAGCAUUUUCAGGCUCAACUCCUCACCAGAAUAAUCAGAGGAAUGCUGUGUAGAGGAGCUUGGAGCUUCAGAAUCUUUUCUUACAUCAAAUCCUGAUAAUGCUGAUAGGUUUAGGUACUCCAAAUUUACAAAUUUACCAAGAAAGCAGAUAAUUUUCAAAAUGCAAGGACAGCCAGAUAAAUUCAGAAAUCGGAGUUUAUUUAGUCUGGCACAAGAUUCAGAAAGAUCAAUAAGCCUCGCACAAUCAGAUAAAUCCAAAAUCUCCAGGUUCAGGCAGCCAUUGUUGCCCACACAAAAUUCAGGAAGUGCCUCAAGGCAAGUACAACCAGACAUAUUAAGAUAAAGAAGUCCCUUCAUUCUAUUGAAUGACAGGGUACGCAGUUGCUUAAGCUGGCAGCAGGAGGACAGAUUCAGAUGUUCCAAAUUUUUCAGUAGACUGAAAGAGUCUGGAAGCAUCUCAAGCUUUGAACAACAUGAUAAGUUCAAGAACGAAAGCUUUGGCAGCUCUCCAAAUUGUGAAGGUAGCUUUUGUAGGCUGGUACAACCUGAUAGAUCGAGGUGUUCCAAAUUUUCCAGUAGACUGAAAGAGUCUGGAAGCAUCUCAAGCUUUGAACAACAUGAUAAGUUCAAGAACGAAAGCUUUCGCAGCUCCCCAAAUCGUGAAGGUAGCUUUUGUAGUCUGGUACAUCCUGAUAGAUCAAGAUGUUCCAGGACUUGGAGUCUGUGAAUGGGACCUGGAAGUUCACUAAGAUUCGAGCAGCCAUGUAGAUCCAAAUAGUGAAGCUUCUGAAAGUCACAAAUGGAAGUGGAACUAUGGAGCUUUAAUUUUUCAGAAAAGGAGCUAUGGAGCUUUUUGAGGCUGGUAUUUUCUGAAAGAUUUAAAAACUGCAGGUGGUGCAAGUUUUGCAUAGAACUGGGUAGCUGGACAGUUUGCAUGCGUGGGAAGUCCAAUACACGCAGCCAUUUAGUUUCUGAAAAGGCACCCUUCGAAGGCUGACAUCCUGUGCAGCCACUAAAAUGAGCAGCCCUUGCUUUGAAAGGCGUAUCUUUGCAUUUUGGGUACUGACCUUUGAAAUUCAACAACAACGUGUAUCGAUAGUUGUCCUCUUUACCGAAGCUUCUUUGUUUGCCAUCACAGAUGGCAACUUCCUCAAUAGCAACUGACCUAGCAAGUUCAUGAACUAAAUCGUGCAUUUUGAAUAAUACAUUAUGCAUAUGAGGGUUAUUAAGCUUGGAGUAUCUUGCAGAAAUCUGAAAAGCAAAUUUGCAGGUCGAUUAGUAGUGCACUAGAUAUUUUUUUCAAGGACUCAACGGUAGGUCAAAAGAAAAAAAUAUAUAAAGAGCAUGCCAAUUUCACAUUUAGAAACGAGAUUGAUCAUUGCCACAUCAGCCGUCCCGCAUGGAGAUGCUAGAGCAGUCAAAGGGAGUGCAAAGGGUUUAAAAUUGCAACGAAUGAACAUUAUUUUCUCUCCAGUAGCAAUUGUGUCAAGACAACCAAGUUGACGUUUCUUCUAUCUGAAAUGAAAGAACACUGCCGAUUUAUUUAUUGCUAUAUCCAAUUUAUAGAAUGGAUAUACCAUUUAAUUGAUAUCUUUUCGUAAAAAUGAAACGCAUAAUAUGCAUCCACAUUUCAGCUUCGAAUUUUACUGGAUAGAGAUACAUGAUCUAGGCUAUUAAGUAGCGACUCAUAAAAGCUAAAUCUUGUAACCAAUGGUGGGUCAAUAAUGAUCAUUUUUGUAUAUAUGUAUCGACUGUUGUAAAAAAGUGAUUCGCUUUUCCUAUGCAGUAACCUUCUGCUCCUAAAGAAUGCCAGGAUUGUGUUUUAAUUAUUGCAAUUACUAUUCACUUAGUAACUUAACUCGCUGUCUUGGCAAUGUUGUAGAGCUUAUGCCAAAAAUACAGCUCAGCCCUUUUUGCUCAGAUUCCAUGACUUUAUGCAGAGAAAACUUGACUUAAAACAAAACUUAGGCUAUGUUACUAGUAAUUUGCAACCUCAGGGAGUUUACUUGUCAUGUUUAUUUGCUUGGUUGAUUUCAGUAAGCAUAAAACUGGCAACUUAAGAAAUAAUGUUCGUGUCGCUAUAUUUAUCUUUUAAAUAAUGUUGACUCAAAUAUUUAUAAGGUGUUAGAAUUGAGGAACCAAUACAACCAUGUCCGAAUGAUUCAUCGUAGGAUCACUCCAUGAAUUUUACACCUUGAUCAAUAUGCUUGUGCGAAAUGAAGUGGAUUAUUCAAAACUAGAAUCAAAGGAUUUAUGACUAUCUCAUUCUUCAAACCAAAGAUUAUAUUGAAUUAGUAGUAGAUAAACACCAUAUUCUGAAAUAAGAUUAAAAUACUAAUAAAUCAUGCGAGAAAUGACAGCACAACUCGAUACAAGGAAAAAAGUUAACUGUACCAAGCUUGGGUAUAUAAUAUAACUCACCGAGAUAGAGUCACUUGAAGCCUCCAGGAAUGACAUCUGACAAAGUUCUAGUAGGUAUUCCUCAGCACGAUGUGUGGUCAGAACAAAUCUCAGAGCAAUCCACUUAUGAAUCAGUUCUCUCUUCUCUAUGAUGAAGCCUUUUGGGAAGGCAGAAAAGUAUACAAAGCAAGGUCUCAGAUAAUAUGGCAUGUGGUAGUAACUAAUCUUCAAGGAUGGUAAUAUUAAAGUAGAUGUUGUUCCAGUCGUUGGAUCGCAUUCGUCUUCCCACAGGUCACUCUUCAGUGUUUCUUCCUACUUGUGCAUCGGCAUAUCUAGCAGACGAUCCCCAAGAGACUUGACUGCCAAAGGCACUCCACCGCAUUUCUUUACUAUUUUCUCCCCCAUAUGUACCUUUGCCAUUUCAGAUUCUUUAAUUCCAUUUGGAAAUGCCUUAGCUUUGAACAGCUUCCAGCAGUCAUCGUACGGCAAGGCACCCAACUUGAAUGGCAACUCACGAUUCAGCCGCUUAGCAACCUGUUCACUUCGAGUGGUCACAAUUAUCUUUCUGCCUGGUGCGCCACCUUUCAACAUCGCUUCUAUCUUUUCCAAUUGUCCUGUGUUUUCUUCCCAUAAGUCAUCUAAAACAAUAAGAUACUUCUUUCCACGGAGGAUCAUCUCCACGCGCAUCUGCACGGAGGACAGGUCAUACUGGUUACUCUGUCCAUCUACUUGGGAGAUAAUUGAUCGACCAAUCUUUUCAUCGCUAAAACUUGUGGAGACAUAAACCCAAAUCUGGAUAUCAAAAUCUCUCUUAGUUGUAUUGUCGUCAAAAACCAUUUGGGCGAGAGGUGGUUUUACCCAGACCACCAAAGCCAUAUAUAGGGAUGAUGAUGUGUUUGCAAUCUUCUUGCAGCAACUUCAUCAACUCUACCUUGUCCUUGUCCCUCCCAAGUAUACCUUCUACAAGGCAAGGGCCUGUAGCCCUUGUCUGGAUCACGUCCUGGUCGUCAGAGCUUGUGUCCACCAUCAAGUCGAACUGCCUCAGCUUUUCUAUGUCGUCCAAUCUUUGCUUCAUGGCCUUCAACUUGCUAGGCAUGUUUAGCCGCAACUUCAGAGGAAUGGAGAUCUCCUGCAAAUCCAUGUCGUGAAUUAGAAAAGGGACGAGAAAUGGAAAUGGACAUAUCGACAUCAAACACACUCGAGACCUACCGUUGUAGAUUUGUUAUUCUGAGAGCCAUCUUUAUUACUCAGGAUAUCACCUUCCAAUUCCAAUAAUAAUGUCCUCCAUGUCAUAGGCUGCUGCCUUUAGCUUCCUCAUCCAGACGCAGACGUCACCAUCUUUCAUCAGCCGCUUCUCCGCCCUAACCAUGCUAUUUUGGAUGGUAUCCACAGUAUCCUUGAGGCCUUUGAGCUCAUCACCUAGCUUCAGCUGCGAGGCGAUCGCCUCCCAGAUGGCACUACCUAGCAUGCCGCCGACCUUCUUCAAUGCGGCCGAGGCAAGAAACUCCCCUACCCCCACCAUGUGGCUGAAGGGGACGCCAAUCACACAGUGUGAUGAGUGCUUGACGUCAGGCCGGGUGAGGAACAGUCCCAAGAGAAAACUGGAGAAGACACAGCGAGAAAUUGUCAGAGUCUCUCUGUUUUUGACCUGAAAAUCACAACCCUUGCAGCAAACUCUGUAUCAAGGACAGGCAGGAAAUAUUUACAAGCAAGGAGGAAAAGGGCAAAUAUUUCAGUCAGAAUUGAGACAAAUAAUAGCACCCAAGGUGCGCUUUAGAUCGCACUCUGUUUCAAUUAAACUGACUCGAGAUGGAAACCCCAAUUCGGAUGCGAGGUGGAAGGAAAGAAAGGUGAUUAGUUCUCAGCUUUUACCGUGAGGGUGGUGUGUUGUGUCCAGCACCCGAUGGGAUGGCAGGUAACUAAGGCCCCGUUUGGGAGGGCUUCAGCUUCGGCUUCUCUACUGGCCGAAGCUUGAGCCCUACCAAAUGACGAGAUGGCGAAAGGCUUCGGCGGAGAAGCUCCGCGAAUCGCUCUGACUGAAGCUGAUUGAGGGAGCGGGAGCUAAAAAAAAUUGGCUCCCCGCGGCUUCUCGCGUCGUUGGACACCCUUGUGCUUCGAUGGGGCCCGCGGGUGGAGGUGGCUGGCGGUGGGCGCAGACGAGGCAUGAGGAUGGCGGCGCGGGAGCAGAAGUGGCCGGCUGCGGACAAGCCGCGACAGAGGACGGCCCAGGACGACCGGCGGCGGUGGGCACGGGGCGGAGGACGUCCGGCGGCGGCGGGCGCGGGGCAGAGGUGGCCGGCGGCGCGCGCUGGGGCGUGGGCGCGUGAAAAGGGGAGGCGGGGGCGCUAGGGACGUAUCUCAGAUGGCAGCGGUGAGAUUCAGCCGGGAGAAGGAGGCCGGGUCAGAUCUUUCACCGGGUGAGAGAGGGGCGCGGCGGAUGGAACGGUCGGUGGUGGUGGAUGGAACGGCGCGUCAGUGGAUGGAACAACGCGUCAGGGUGCCUGGGAAUCAGGGGGUGAGGAGGUGACGAUAGGGUUCGGGGCGCGAUCGAUCCUACCUCAACGUAUGCGUAAGUAGAAGAAUGCAGUGGCGAGAAAUGCGUACGCGAUGGAGAGGGCUAGAUCCAGAAGUAGCAAGUUGCCGAUUCGUAGAAGCGGAAUAAUAAGCUAGUGAUGAAACAAUGCGUUAUUAGCUCGCGUUACGUUGUUUAGGUCCAGAGAGGAGCAGCAAACUCCAUAGCUUAUAGUUUUAAUUUCUCAUUGUUUAUUGCGGCCGGUCUUUUGACAGUCUAGGGACACAGUCGUCGUAGAUCUCGGGAGCCCUGGUGGAAAACAGAUCAGCUUGCGGUUGUUUAUGUAGAGUCUCUCGAGACAAGGCAUGCAUGGCUAUACUCCCACUCACCAAGCCCAAACAGUGCCAGCUCUACUAGUUUAGUUAAUAAUGUUUUAAGUGACUUUUGCCUUUGCAGAAUAGCCCAUUCUACUACGGAGAGGCGACGAACAAGCUGACCAUGUACGUAGCUGCCUGCUUGUCGUCGACCACCACCGCAGAUUCUUCUCUUGCCAUGCAUGUACUCAGCAAAGGAGCGGACCACAUCGUCGUGCAUCUCCAGUUAUCCAGUUGCUCAGGCAGUCCAGCUACUGACCAUGCAGGACUUGUCAAAACAACAUUCCACUCACGCUCGCCUUGCGUAUCUUGUGCUUAAGAGCCCUCCAAUCGCUUUAAUUGCAAGUGGUAAUUAUGCCUUCACACUUCUCAAGAAUUUCCAUCCCAACGUUUUUUAGGCGGUCAGUGCCGACUACCUGCCAACAGUUAAUUAUUUAUUGGAUUAUUAUUUCUGACUACAGUAAGGUCGUCGCGGCACUACUUGCUUAAGUACAUUUUCUUACGUUCCUGUUGUAAAAAACAAUUGGUCAUCAUUUUUUUCAUCCCUUGCACAAAGCAUGAACAGACGAUCCAAUUUCAAAUGGGCUUUACAAGGAUUUUGCAUAAACCGCCACAAAAGUUGUAACGAUCUUACGUAAAUCCUGCAUUCCAAAUGGGGCCUAAACAUUUCAUUUGGGACCUUGGAAUGCAGACUAGAUUGUGUUCCAGUAGCUUGUAUCGUCUUUCAUAAUCACGUUGCCUUUUGUUUUAAAAGCAACAAUUUCAACUAAUAAUGCCAUAAGAUCAAAUUUGUCUACUCCAUCUCAUUUCAAAUAUAAUUCAGUCGAGCUUGUGCACAAGAAUUCAUAAGGUAGGUGGUGAAGUGACACUACUUGCUUAAGUACAUUUUCGGGCAAAAAAGAUUUGGCUACGUUCCUGUUGUAAAAUAAAACAAUUGGUUCACCCUCAGCAUCAGUUCAACAAUGGCCGACUCAUCAAACUCGGACGUCAUCUUCUGUAUAGAACUUGAACUUGAACCCGGACUCAACAGUUAGCAUCCUCGGCUCCGGAUUGAACUUGAACUCGAACCUGUCUGCCUCCUUGUGGAUGCCAUCAAGCCUCUGGUUGACGUCCCUGAUGCUGCUGCCUAUCUCGUGGGCGAACACGGGUUACGCAGGCAGAAGAGCAAUCGCUGGAAGAAAUCCUGCAUCUUUUCUAUGCUCCUGCACGUGAGGGUGAAGAUGGGGUUCCGUAGGCACAUCAACCUGCACUCAUCAGCCUUGAGUUGGCACAGGUCUAGGAUGUCUGUGUGGCAUCGUACAUGGCGUCCUUGAGCUUCCUCACCCAUCUUUGCACACUCUUGUCAGUGACGCGCACCUCCUCUCUGCAUCCGCGAGGAAAGCUUUGAGGCAUCCGGGAUGGCGGCCAUGGCUCCAGAGUACGAUCUAGCUAGUACACAAUACAUGAUCCCUCCGUUUCAGUGGGAUGAGCUCAACCGGAUCUCAAAGGAAUAUACUAUAAGGGUUGGGAUUCAACUCACACUCCUUUGCAACCAGAUAUGGGUUGAAGCGGGUCGAACCCAUCCUAACCCACUUUGACUCCAGAACCAAACACAUGAAAAAAGAUUGCACGAGGAAAAAGAAGGAAAGAGAAAUCGGCGACUCGUAGCAGGGAUGACUGUACGUUGAUUUGGUUGGUUCGGAGCUAAUGUCUUAGAAGAAAUAUCUCUGUAGGAUAAAGGAGAGAAAGUAUUUUUAUUGUGUCACGGCAGGAAUAGAGCAUUCGUCUAACGCGUUUGUCGUUGUCAAGAUUAGCGGAUCAAGACUUAGACUAGUAAAUUUCUUUUAUGCGCGUAAGGCUUCGGAUGGUGGCGUGGGAGACACGGGGUUUAGACUGGUUCGGGCAAGGGAAUGCCCUACGUCCAGUAUCGGGAGCUGCUCGUGUUGCCCACGCGGGGUUCUGUAGUAGGGGUUACAGGAGUGCGAGAGAGGGAGCUGAUCCCAGGUCUCUUGGGUGUACACUGAUGCUCUAGGUGGGUAUGAGUGUGUUUUGUGGCUUGGAGAACCUCCUUUGUCUCAGGCCCCCGGUUCUCCUUUUAUAGCGCAAGGAGGCCACCAAGGUUACAGGCGAGACCGGGUGUAUGGAGAAGUAAAAGAAAUAAACAAAGCUAGGUAAAAUACAACACAAGGGGAGGGACCAAGUCCCCAGGCCACCGGCAUCCUCGCCGGCCUUCGGCUCCUGCCGGCGCGUCUGCCGGAGGAGGGCGGCCGCCGUCACGUCCCGUCGAUGGUCUCCUCGGCGGCUGUCGCCGCCAGGCGUGAUGAUGGUGUUUUGUUGUGGCACCUGUGUCCGUUGGGGCAUUAACGAGUCAAAGUUAAUGCCCUCUCACCGUGUUAUCUUGUCUAAGUUUAAUUACAUAGUCAUGAAAUUGAUUAGAUUUUGUUAACUUAAUUGGCUUGUAAGCGGUAGGCAAGAUGUCUUUGGUGAUUGUGCUCUAGUCUUUUAUGUUGAUAGAUUGAGGUUAAUUCCCUCUCAUUCGUGUUGCCUUGUCUAAGUUCAAUACACUUAUCAAGACAAUUAUUAAGAUCUAUUAAUGUAUCUAGGUUGCGUAUAGUCAGCAUCGGCUGGUCCUUGUUGUUAUGUUCUAAUCUUUUAACUUAGUAGAUUGAUGCCAAUACCCUCUCAUUCUUGUUACCUUGUAUGAGUUCAAUACACUUGUCAAGAUAUUGGCUAGAUCUGUUAGCUUAUCUGAUAAGCAUGUGGUUAACAAGGACUCCCCUUUAUGGUUGUUGCGUUACAAUGCUUUGUCUUAGCGCGUCGGCUGAGAUAGCCGAUGGCACAUGCCAUUAAUGUUUUAUUUAUUUACACUGCAUGCUUACAUUAAAUAUCUAUCUGUCAUAGUGUUUAUUCCAAGAAUGCCUACCCAUGAGUUCGAAAGGCUUCGUCGCCGAUCGGCAAUGUUUACCUUGUCAAUUUUCAGGUCAAAUUGACUGACAGGCCUUGCACCAUUCGCGAGCUGAUUUGGAGCCUGCACUGGAGGUAAGCAGAUCUCCCAGAUCAUCCGUGUUGUUCAACGCAGAAGCCUGAAGUCCGGAUUUUGCAUCAACAGGUAUAGAGAAACAAAAGGAUCUAAGGAAAUAAAACAAAAGAAAAUUAAAGGGUAUUGAGCUACGCAGACAUAGCCAGAAUCAAAGAGGGUUUGGCUCUGAGCAACAGUAAGGAGAAUUCAGACAUAAAUUUUCUUUUACAAGCUUCGAUUAUAGGAUCAAUGUUACUGAAAAUCCGUUCGUUUCUAGUGGACCAUAUGCUCCAUAACAUUAAAAUGAUGACCUCCAUGAAGAACUGGACUUGAAGCUUGUCUUUGAUGAGCUUGAAAAUUUGAAGGAGGGGCCUUGUUGUUAUGACUGACACCCCUAUAGAGGCCCGUCAAGCCUUGGUAAAGUUACAUCUUAAGAACAUAUGGGCAACCAUUUCUAGCUUUUGAAGGAUUCACAAGUCACAAGUAUAAGAGUCUAGGAUCAUGUUUUUUCAUCUAAGAAACUCUCUUGUGCUUAAACGGUCCUUGAGACUAACCAGAAGAAUACCUCGUGUUUCAUUUGGCAUUUUGAACGUUUUGAUGUCCAAUGAUAACGGGAAGCGGCAAGACGGUGAUGUCUUGCAGUGUAGCAUUGUCAUUAGUUGACGGCCAAGAGCAGAAAAAAUUAUGAGAGAAGGAAUGAUAAUGAUUUAGCCAAGGUUGAGUGCCGAUGUGAUAUACAACAAGGGAGAACUAGGAAAUCGAUGUUUGUCAUGCACAUCCAUCCGUAGUAAGCUGAAUGAAGUGGUUGACUAGAGAGAAUGAUGUGCCCAGUAAGUGAUGCAUAUUCCAUGACCACGGUAUAGCUGGCAAAGAUCACAAAGGAGAACUCUAUCUUACUAUUACUAAUUGGAGGCUCCUUUUGAAGCCUCCAGGUGAAGCCACCUAGGAUUACUAGGUGGACACUCUAAAAAAAGAGAGAAAUCCUAGAAAUUCUCACAAAAAAGCAAAACAUCCAACCAUCAAUCUAUAGCUUCAAAUCAUCAUAGCCAUUGGAUCUAUUAUAUUUUCUAAAAAAUUACCCACCUAUGCCAUUAUGAAAAUAGUCUAAAGUAACCCCCUAAAUCUAUAUAUAAAUUACCCACCCCACCUCUGCCAUUAUAGAAAAUAAACUAAAGUAACCCCUAAUCUUAAUCAAAAUUACCCACUUAUGCCAUUGUAAAAAAUAUUUAAAAUAACCCCCUAAUUUGCGACUGAAUUGCCUACCACUAUUACUUAAAAAACUUAAAGUAACCCCUUAAAUUUGCAUCUAUAUUACCCACACAUGCUAUUAUUAAAAAUAACAUGAGGUAAUAACCCUACGUAAUGUACAACAAUAUAUGAUUCUAAAUUAUCUAUAUCUUGCACUAUUGGUAUACAAUAUAAUAAUUAAGAUCUAUACGUAUGAUGUGUGUCACCAUUUAUAAUUAAAGAUAUAAAAUGAUGGGAAUAUAGAUUUCUAUGCUAAAUUAAAGAUAUAAAGUGAUUGCAUAGAGUAAUUAUUAAUUAAAAAUUAAUCAAAACUGAAUAAAGAUAGGUACAUGUAUUAUGUUGAAGUAUUGAAAAAAUAAGAGAGUAGUAGGUAAACAAUUUUGAUCAUUAGCUAAGAGUUUAACUUCUAAAUAAUUUUCAAAUACAAUAGCUUCUAAAAAUAUUAGUCCGUGCGGGAGCACGGGUUGAUGGACUAGUAUGUAAAAUAAUAUGGGAACAUUUAUUUAUGGGGCUACAACCACCGGAUAUUGGUGAUCAAAGUAAAGAAAGGAGAUUGUCACACCCGGUUUUAAGGACAAAACCAAGUGCUACCUAUAUGUAUGCCAGGAUCAAGUUUCAUACAUAUAGUGACAUCAUAAGUGAAUAACAGCAACAGUAUCACGUAAAAAGAUACAAAUAAAGACUUACGAGACCAUCAGAGAUACACAGCUUAAAUACUGAAAACGGAGACUCCAAACUUCACAGGCAAUCGACUGGGGGUUGCGUACGCCUAGAACUCAGCAUCAUCUUCGGAACAUUUCACACACCUUCUUCUUCUGAGCAGCAGUAAGCAAGGGUGAGUACACUUAUGGUUGGUACUCAGCAAGGCCACAAGAAAUAACCAGAAUAACGAUUUGAGUCCAUCUUCAAGUUUAAUUAAUCAUGUGAGGGUCCAGGCCGCUCUUAACCGUGAGCACGGCUGAUCGAUCAGUUUUACACUCUGCAGAGGUGGCACAUCUUUACCCACAAGUCGCGUAAAAGUUCAAGGAACUUUGGACCCAACCAUGCGGUGCUAGCUAGGCACCAUACCACACUUCCGAGGUGUGAUUGCAUAGGGACGCUACGAGGCCUUUACAAAGAUUCGCUAGCAAUGUGGUAACCUGCUAAGGUUUCAGGUCGAAGCAGAACAUAGCAGUCCCCUAGUUGGUAUAGUGUCUUAGCAAAGCCCACUUCCCCCAAGAGCGAGUGCUAUAUCCCAUCAACGCCUCCCCUCUUGCCCUUUCGGUAAGAUCACCCCAGACUAGAGUUUCUAAUUAUUCAGCCAAGACCAGAGCCAUUUAGUCUUGUGGUAGCACUGUUUUCCUGGGUGGUUCUCCAUGUUCCGAUAACAUAAUCAUGAUAUUAUUAACAAAGCAUAGGUAGAAGGAUGGUUAGGGACACUUGCCUUUCUCCAACAGAAAGUUACUCUUACUGCUUUUCAGCUCUUGCUCUCUUGAAGCUCUUACUCUUCAAAACUUCCGAAUAGGGAUCCUUCUACUCAGAGCAAACAUCGGCACAAACAUGCAAGCAACAAACAAGUACAACUAAGAACAAUACACCAAAAUAAAAGGAAAGCUUUAAAAGAGCGUACUAAACGACAAGGCUCGAUCUAAGGUCACGCGAAUGUAAGGAACGCUUAAAACGGAACUAUGGUUGAAAAGAUAAAGCUAUCGAGCAUUUUAAAUUAUAAAAGAAAGAUGAGAGCUACAAGCUUCAUUUAUUUUAGUUGAGAAAAACAAUGUAAAGAUAUUUCACAGAAAUAUCCUUAGUUAGAAUUAAUCAAGUCAUAUUUAUAUUUUCAUAAGAAAAGACGGUGUAAAGCUUAGUCCAAUUUUAUUUAUAAAUAUUUAAGUAUAAUUUAUGCAAUUUAAACAUUUAAUAAAAAAAAUACAUGUAGACAUCUAAGCGUAUAGCUUUACAUUUCGACUUCAACUAAGUAGAUUAAAUUAAAAACAUAUUUAUAUUUAUAUUAGCCAAAUUAAUAUUUAAUUAUGAAAACUCGAGAUAUAACCUAUAUAUAUUUUAUUUAGAAAAAAAAUUAAAUAAACAUUAAUCAAAUUGAAUUUAAUUUAUGAAACACCAAGGUAUAACUCUAAGUGGCUUUUAAUUGAAAGAAUUAUUUGGACAGGCAUUAAUCAAUUUAAUAUAAAAUAUAUUUUCAAAAACAUGUGUGAAGGAAAACUUUACCACUAACGUGUAAUUUACAUCAUUAUGAAUCUAAUGCAACUUGAACGGACAAAAACGGAAUUAAAACGUAGAAUCUAUGGUUUAAACAAGGUUGUAGGGGUCUAAACAUAAUUAACCGUAUACUUGGAGGGUUAGCUGAGAAGAUUACCAAGACUCAGAGAAUAGUCACUGCGAAUAGAUGGAUCUUCGGGGUUAGAUCUGCAAAAGAGGAUGGCUUGGAUCAGAUUGCAAGGAACUGAAAGUUACAGGGGGUUUUCUACAAGGUUUGAAAGACACAAGAAAUAUGAACAAAAAUUAACAGAUUUUCCAGGGGCUAGAUCGAAAAGCAGCGCUUCAUCUUCUUCCUCACGCCAGGAGCAUGGUGCAGCUCCUGGCCGGCGGCCUGCCGGCGUUCUGGUGCGGCGGACGCCCGGGCGGGUGGUGCAGCGCGAUGCGCAGGGCAAGGAGGCGAUGGUGCGCGUGCAGGCAAUGGCACAAGCGAGCCGGAGGUGCUGGGCGAGCAGGAUGAACGGACCAGGCGUGCUGGCCCAAGUUGCGUACAGAAACACAGAAACAGGAGGGAAAGAGAGAAGGAGGGGGUAGCCGGAAACGAAAUCCGAUCUCGCGCAUGAACGGCAAAAUGGAACGAUAUUGAUGAGACGAACAAGAUGGUGUGCUCACCUUCGGCCAGAGACGAACAAUGGCGGCGGAAAAGCUCGCCGGAGUUGGGGAAGACGACGGAGCCGACAUCGGAUUCAUGCAAUUCACCACACCACGGCGUAGAGCUCGAAGAGAGGAACUCCAUGGUGGUGUCGGUUUUCGCCGGAAGUCCACGGUUUCGCCGGAAAAGCUCGCCGGAGUUUGACGAAGACCGAACUUUGACUUCACAUCUACGGAGUUAGGAGAUGCAACUCGUGAAAAGGUUUGCAGAUCUGAAAUCCUCGCGUCGAGACGAACGCGGUGAUAUAUAUAUAGGCCACACUCGGAAAAAGAUAUUUUCGAGUUGACUUUUUAUUUUCGGAAUUUCUGAUUUUAUUUAUCUGCGCGAAAACAAUUCCAGAAAUAGCUGGACUCGUUUUCUAAAGCGAGAAAAAUACCUAGAAAAUUCCGAAAAAUCUGAGAUAAAUCUCAGAGAUGGAUUGGGAUACAAAGAAUCCAAAUAAAAUACUUGGAGCUCGUGAAAAGGAUUCUAAAGCCUUCCAAAAAUUGGAUUUAGCUCUAGGAAAAGGAGAAUAAUUUUCAGAAAAAGAUGGAAAAAAUCCUCACAAGGGUCUGGGCAACGUCUAAACGCAUUUUUCAAACUUUUACACUCAAGAAACACCAAGAUGCAGUGACAUGAAUGCACAGACAUAGAACAACAUUAUUUAAUUUAGAAAAGCAAACAAUUAGUUUCCUAUACUAAAUUUCCUGUAAAGAAAAAUAAAUGUUGGGAAAAUUUUAAAAUGAUGAGAAAAUUAUUGUUUAUUUAUUCUUUUUAUUCACAUCCUGAAAUUUGGAAAUUUCAGGGUGUGACAGAGAUGAUUACUUCUGGUGCUAUACAUUGAAUCACUAACCUUAAUCAUGCAUUGUACCUCAAACUCUCAAGCAAAAAUUUACAUCACCAGCCAAAAUAAAUGUCAUAUUCAUGUUAAAUAUAUAUAUAUAUAUAUAUAUAUAUUAUUGUCAGUACGCACCAAAAAGUGUGUGUGUGUGUGUAAAAGGUACUCCCUUUUCUCUCCUAUCAUGUUCAAAAAAUACAGAAUAUAAUGAUGGAAAAAAGCAUAGACGACACUUUGGUCUGGGCCAUUAGGACAAAAACAAUUACAAGGAUAUGACUAAACAAAACUAUUUGCAUCCAUUUAUUUAUAAAUAAACAUCCAAAAGUAGGUUAAAAAAUAGUACCCACCCUAUUUGUGCGGGCCACAUUGCUAGUUUGACUCACAAGACUGAUCAUUUAUAGCAUGGGGAGAUGGAAAGGGAGAAGAACACAGCGCUUUUAUAUUCCCCAGCAUGCAGCUGGCAAGAUUGUGGAUGAGCAUGACCAUCACGAGCUGGUUAAUAGCCAUGGGAUCGACGACGAACCUGGUUCCUCCAGCCUCAAAAUGGGUUUUACGAUUUCUCCGGACCAUUUGGCAAGCUCGCUCUCCAAGUGUUGCUUGAGGCCGUCAUCAUAGGGACUGCUAAGCCAGACUUCCACCAGACCUUUUAUCUUCUGUAGGCCAGAGAACCGCAGUGCUGACACACACCUGCAGCGAAUCCUCAGCACCUUAAGAUAAAAGUCAUCGUGAAACGUUAUUGUAGCUGGCAACCUGGCGUCAUAAGAGAUCUCGAGGAAGGAUAAGAUGACAGGAUUUUGUCUACCAAAAUGGAGGUCAUGAAACUCUGACAAAAAAAGACGUGUAUUCUCCGGCCAACCAGGACUGUCAACGAGAUCUUGCUGCAACAUAAUCAUCUGUAAACUCAAUUUUGUGAGAUUCUUAAGCUUUUUGGUCCAUACUGGUAACUUGCUUACCAGCCCGUAUAACUUAAGACUCCGUAGGUUCACUAGAUGUUCGAAAGAGAUGCCGUCCAUGGUGCCAGCUUCAUCGUCCUCAUCGACCUGCAUUCUCAAUGACAACGAUUCCAGAUGGGCAAGACCUGAGAUGGCUGAAAAAAGCUUCCAGAUGUUGUCCCGGUUAAUGCCUGACACUCCAAGUUUGUGCAACUGAGUAAGCUUCUUGAGCUCCUCUAGAAUGGCGUCCCCUUUUCCAGUGCCAAUAUCAACGUCACCCAGCGUGUGCAAGUUAGAAAGUUUCCCAAUACCUCUGGGCACCUUCACGCAAUUAUGAGAGCCAUCGUCGAGAUGGUGGUAUCUGCUCAACUUGGACAACAAGCAGGACCCCAGCUGAGUAGCACAUGGCCAGCUCAUUGGCGUUGCGGUUAGUGAUGGGUUCUCUGCUGCUUCUGUAGCUUGAUGAUGCUUGGUGGUACCAGCACGAAUGUACUGCAGUUUCUCCAGCUUGAUGAUGCUCUCUGGUAGCUUCAUCACAGAUGUUUCCCUGAUAUCCAGAGUUUGGAGGUGCUUCAGAUCGCCCAGGGAAUCUGGCAGAUGAGUGAUUUCUCGGCACCUUCUCAGGGAAAGGAACUUCAAGCAGGGCAGCAGCUUCACCAUCUGCUCGACGUCACCAUUUGUUACACCUGAAGACACGUCCUCCAGAUCAAGCACACGGAGCAGCCUCAUCUUUUCAGAGAUGAAGAACGAUUUCCACUCACCAAACACUGUCAAAGAUCGCAGCCGGGAAAAGUCAAUGCUCUUAAACACAUUUCUGUCUCUGUCCCAGCUUCGAUCUAUGGCAAGGUGACGUCCCGUGCGAUGGAAGUUCUUUUCGCAAUGGCCCUCUAGUGCAAAGACAAGAUUAUCUUCCAUCGACUGUGAUAUGAUGUAUUCACGGAAGAAACCAUUAACUUGGCACAAUGGCAUCCUCUUGGAUUGCUGAACUGAUGCUGCUGUUGUUUCUGUUGUUCGUGGCACCUGGACCAUGCUUAGACUGACGAGCUUGGAAAAGGAUAUCUCCCCGUUUUUCUCUGCGGUGUUUUCUUUACUGUCUCUAGAGUAUCCCUCCGCGAUCCACCGUCUCACCAAACGCCUCCGCCGGAUCGUGUGGUUCAGAGGGAAGAUUGACAGGUAGAAUAUACAUGGCUUGAGGAUAUCUGGGCAGGAACGGAAGUAGGAAAGCAACCAGGCAAACAGAUCUUCUAGGCUUGGUUUGUCCUUCAACGCAGACACAAGGUUAUCUUUUCUGAGAAAAUCCCAAAAGAAAUUGCGUCGCGAUCAUCACCAGCUAUAGCGCAUAUAACUUUGGGAAGUCCACCACACUUGUGCAAGAUUUGCAUUUUGUCCUCGGUCCCUUGUCUCUGAAGGUUAUAUCUCUGAGAAACAUAUUGUCCAAAUGAUAUAUAUAUAUAUAUAUAUAUAUAUGAAUAAAUUUAUUUAUUACCAAAAAAAGAUAACCAUAACGAUGGCAUAAAAAAGAGUGUAAAAUUUCUCUUAAAAAAAAACCAAAAACAUCCCGCCCUGAGAUAUUAUGCAGCUACCAUGCAAAUUUGGCAUGUAUAGAUUACUGCAUACUACAAGGUCAGUCUUGAAUUGGAUUUUGAAAAUAGACUAUUUGCUGGAUUAGGUACAUUUGUUAGUUACACCUUCCAAUAAAAAUGGACUAUUAAUUUGACGCAAUACAUUUAUGAGACAAACCUUUUUCAAGAUAAAUGCUAAAGUUAACUGUUGAAUCUAGCCGUGCCCUACAAAUGCACGGGCCACCCCACUUGUUAUUUCUAAAUGAUAUAAGUUUGAUGCUGACAUUGUGCGUUUUUGUUGAUGUCUAAGCACAUGGACAACAUUGUAAGUAAUAUGAUUUAAUUAGGAUAAAUAAGCUGUGAUGUGGUCUAAGACGAAGAGGGAACAUAUGUUGUUAUGACAAGUAUCAAGUCGUUCUCCAGAGUCCAAAAAGUAAAAUAUGACCUUCAUUCCUACCUUGAUCCCAAAUAUCAGCCUAUUUCAAUUAUGUAUAAGAAUUUAGGUGGUCUACCCAUCACUUAUUGUUGCAAACAGUAAGGUAGUUGGAAUGUCUAUUUCAUUCAAUAAGCACAACUAUAUAGGGGCAAAAUAGGAAAGGGUGGGGUCAAAUAGAGCUGCCACGAUGUUUGCUGCUGGACAUGUAAAUAUGGCAUAUAUAAGAUGCCAUGCAAGAACGUUUAGUCUACAUGACAGUGACUAAACGAAGAGAGAGAGCAAAACUAUCUCUUCACCAAGAAAUGGAUUUGGCACAUGAUAUGAUGACCAGCACAAUUGACAAUGUUAUAUAAACAAUGCUCUACCAUUGUAUAUCUCGUCUAUGUGUCAUCAUUAAUUAGUAUAUAAUUGUUGAGAAACGAUGACAUAAUAAAAAAAUCUCAUUAUAUGAGCUAUUUAUAUUACUGUCUUUAUGUGACAUGACAAAAACUUUUAGAUGGUUGUUGUCUAACGGUUGUACAUGCCCUAAUUGUUGAGGUAAUAGAUAUGCUAGAUGGACUUCUAUUGGGGAUAAUAUAGUUCUCCAUUUUUAUUAAAGAUUUUCUUGGUUUAGAAAGUGCUUGCAUGAAGCUAACUAAACAAGGAAUUUUGUGCAUAAGAUGUUAAAUCUAAUUCAAAGAUGGAACUCAUUGGUAUACUGAAGGAAUUAUUAGAAUUGCGGAAUGCUUAUUGCGAGUAAACGGACCUCUGCGAUGAGUUCAAAGGCGCUGUCAACUCCGAGACCUUUGACAUUCCACACAUUCUUGCUGUUUGUUGCGCAGUAUUGUGCGACACAUUCUUCAUUGGUAAUGACAAAUAUAUCCAAGCCGAAUUUUUUGGUUCCUAGUUUCAAGGCAGCUUCUAUCAUGUCCCAUUCUUCUGUAGAUUGCAGACCGUCGAUAACAAUUGUGCAUCCAAAUUGUUCAUGUAGAUAUUCACGGCACUCUUGAAUUAGGUCUUUCAUCGUUGACAUCUGGCGGUCAUGGAGAUAUCCAGGAUUCAAAUCCAAAAGUAAGCGCCAUGACAAGUCCAUCAAAUCGAAUGGAUGGGAUACAUUCACCCAACCGAACUUGAUAUAAGGAUCUUCAAUCCGCAUCUCGUAGCAGAGAUGUUUGACAAGAAAUGAUUUGCCAACACCAGACAUCCCCCACACAGAGGACACAGGCCCAGUACGACGAGACCUGCGCAUAGAGAAACAAAGUAAAUCCGCCUCUUGGCCAACAAGUGGAUGUUUGUCCAGCCAUUCACGAGCAGUUUCCCGCAAGUCCGCCACGGUUUGCUCAACUUUUCCGGGCGCAUCCUGCAAAGAAUUGGAAAGAGCAUUGUCAAUUGGGUUUAUUUAUUGUGUCAAAAUUACAUCCUUGUAGAAGACAACAUACAUGCUCCGAGUGAAGUAAAAUGCAUCCAACAAAGACAAACAUACACGCGUGCAGUAUUAUGCUUUAUUUGUAGCAUCCAUGCAGCAAAAGGUUAAGAAGCAUGAAUCAGUUUUAUAUCACCUGGGCAAAAUGAUCUGAGUAUUCAAUAACACACUUUGACUAUCAAUAUAUAUCAUAUAUUAUAAUACUCAUGACCAUAAAAUUGGCAUCAUAUGAAAGUGCUUUCAAAUUGGAAUGAUAUGAUAAAAGUUUGUACGGUAUAAAAUUUACAAAUCCUUGAUAAUCCAUUGAUACCAUGUUGUAUAGUUAGAAAAUUUGAAUGUUGGAUCUUCGAAACACCCAGUGUUCGAUAGGCACAUCCUUCUAGAUAAACCAUUCUUUACUUUAGAGGUCAAAUCAAAAUGUUGGAUAAUUCUGCGAUCCACAAAUUAAUCACCUAUGUACAACCAUGCCAUAUACUACACGAUGCUAACCGCAAUUUGUGGUUGCCUGAACACUUGCGUCUCAGUCCCACAGACCAUCCGUUGCUUCCACAGUUUAACCUAGAGUAAUCACCGCCAUCCGCAGCUUGUUCAGUACCCCUUUCAUAGUUUUUUCUUUUGCGGAAUUCAUAGUUCUUCCUCGUGAUCCUAUAAUUUAACUGUUUUGAAUUUCUCAACCCCUAUGCAUCAACUAUUUACAAACGCAAAAUGAUGAAAAAUAAUAAUGGCAUAAUUGGCAUGUAAACUAAGUUUUGUAGAAUUACAUUAUGAAGCACAAGUCAGGAAUGUGAUAACAGUCAAAUACGUGCAUUGCAGACCACGUUGAUGCAAAAAUGUAAUGGAAGUAGAAGAGCGAGUAUAUCAUUUUAUUGGAAAUAAUUGAGCAUACCUCCUCGACAAGGGCAUAGACAGAGUGAUGAGCCGAGAUUUUUUCAAGCUCCAAUAGUCGGUGUGGAUGCCUGACACAAAGGCUUGCAACUUCAAACUGAUGCGUGCUGACGAUGAUGCAGCUGCCGUUCUUGUUGUCUGGCAGGUAAGCCCUUACCGCCUCCCAGUCAUCCAUGGUGGUCACGUCUUCAAGGACAACAAGGUAAUUUUGACGGCACAUUUGCUUCAUGAAUUCGUUGAUCAGAACGCCUUCUGUGGCCACCGUCAUCUUCACAACAAAAUCUACGGUAGCGCUUUCUUGUGGACUAUAGCUUCUGCAAAAUUGGGCCACCAAGCGCCUGAUAAAUUCCCGGGCAUUGAAAGGAUGCAUCAGCUUCACCCAGGCGCGGCAUCUGAAGUUGGUGCAGAUUUGUGUGUCUUCAUAGGCCUUCUUGAUGACGGACGCCAUCCCAACUGUUCCUAACAACGAGAUCACUUGAAGGGCAUGGUCACCUUUCCCGCUGAUCAACUUGACGAGUGCCACAGGUGGCCAGAUGGGCUCCCUGGCGGCUUCCCUCGCUGUGGCGGAACGAGGGAGGAUGUUUGAUGCUGUUGCGCUGGCCGCACCCUGCUGAUGCGUCUGCUCGGCAGGCUUGGAGCCAGGGUUACCGGUGUGGUUGUAGCGCAGGUUCCGCUGACCCAUGGCCUCGACCCUAGCCUUGAGUAGCUCUAUACCAGCGACAGCGUUGUCCAAGGCCACGGCCGGCGCCGCCGCUGGUACCCAGGAGGGGAGCAUGCGGCGCCACCAGCUCGAUUUGUUGUCCAGGUAGAGAAUGGAGUCAAUGCAGUCCUCCACGUCCAGGGCCAUGUCGCGGACCUGCCUCACGCAAGUCGUCGUCAUAUCGUCCGCGACACGAUCCUUGGCAACGUUGAGGAAGGAAUGCAUCAUCUCGAACUCGUCCGAGACAAGCAUAAGGUCACGCUGAACGCUCUUCUGCAGCUGCUUCUCCUCCUCAAUAGCGGACUUGGCAAUAUUCACCGUCUCCUUGACCGCCGACUUCGCCAAACCCAGCACAAGGUCCGCCAUUGCACUCCCGUUCACUCUUCGAUCUGUGUGAGGGGAGGUGGGUGGGUGGGUGGGUGGUGUACAAGAUAGAACCUGGUGACGAUGCUUGCAAAUAUAUAUUAUGCUUCAAAAUCAUGCAUGACAUCGGCUGCAAGACAGAAAAUUUGCACAUUAUAAAACAAGAGUGUCGCAGUAAAAGAAGCCAGUUAGAUUCCCUAAUUAAAUUAACAGUGGGCUUUCCCUUAUGGUCUUAUUUUUAGGGCUAAAAGUUGCUUAUUUGGAGGAACUAACCUCAAUCCUACCUGUUUGGUUCCAUGAGCAAAACAACAUUUAAUAAGGUGAAGAAUGAUUUGUUUACCUCUAAUCAUUGCGACGCGUGGGGGGAGAGAGAGGAAUCAGAUAGGCAUUGAAUGAGAGCAAUGGGUGUCCAGUGCACCUUUUAGUCCAAAUAAGCAACCCAAAAUUACCUUAUGGACUAAACUUUAAAAGCUAAACUUUAACUUAAAUAAGCAAGGAUGUUCGGCUCUUUAUUUGGUACUAUAAAAGGGACUAAAAUUUAAUCUCUAAAGUUUAGCAAGGGUACAGCCCCUUAAUCUUCGCCGGCCAAGCACUUAAAUUAAGCUAGGUCAGACAGCUGAUGCAUCGAACGCAGCAGCAGUGAAAAACAAAUAAAGGCCAGUGUGCUCUGUAAGAAAUAUAAACCAAUAAAAUACAUCUUGGCAGAAUGGGGUCAAGUGGGUCUAUAGUCUAUUCUUGUGGCAGUAAGCUGAUCCUUUAUAAUACCGCUGGAUCGGAUCUCGAUCUCCUUGAUUAGCGCUCCACUAGCCCACUAAUGCUUGUCUCGUACUCCAACCACCGAUACCCAGCCCAAAAACUAUGCAUCGGGGAUUCACUUAACUUUUUAUUAUUUCGAGGUCUAAUUAAUAACACUGUUUGGAUUACGUAUGGGUUGCCUGCUGCUGGUAAAUACAUCUAUUUAUCUUUCAGCAAAAGCAUGCCUGCUGGGAAAUAUUAGUUCUGAAAUCUGAGCGCAUACCAGCUGUCAGUUAACAUAUUGUCUGUCAGCAAAUCCCUGCCAGAGCUUACGAUAAGUGGUCCGUCAGCAGACGUCAUCCCCCAACGGAUAAAGUACCCCAUAUUGCCUUCUUCAAGUUUCAUGAUGAAUGCAAUUCUCACACCUUGAAAUUUUUGGAUCUCACGAGGUGAUUAGGAGGAAUAAUUAAACAAUCAUUUUCUCGUAAUUUUAAAAUUUUUCAACAUUUGUUUCUUGACAGAAAAUUUAGUGUAGGAAUAUAAUUGGUUGUGUUUCCUAAACUAAAUGAGGUUGUUCUAUGUGUGUGCAUUCAUGCCCAUGCAUCUUGGUGUUUAUUGAGUGCAAAGGUUUUAAAAUGCCUCUAGACGACGACAAGGUUCUUCUGAGAAUUUACCAGUUUUUUCUGGAAAUUAUUCUCAUUUUCCUAGAGCUAAAUUCUUUUCACGAGCUUCAGUUAUUUUAUUUAGACUCCUCGUGUCCCAAACUAUCUCUAGGAAUUUUUCUGGAAUUUUUAGGAUUUUCAGAGUAUUUUUUGUGGGUUUUAUUGAAUUAUCUGGAUUUUCCUUUAUACGGGAAAUUACUUCUGAAAAGAAAAAGAAAAGAAAACCUCAACCUACCCUUUUGGGUUAAGCCCGCACCCACAAGCUCUACCAUGGCCCAACUCUCCUUCCCACCCUCGGGCCUCAUUGGCUCAGCCCAGUCCAGGCCCGACCAGCCCAGCCAGGCCCAACCGGGACCAUCUGCUCUACAGCUCUCUCCCAAGCUGCACAGGCAAGCAACGCCACCACCAAACCUUUUUGGUGUGUGUGCCACGCCAGGCGCAACCACCGGCGCCCUAUCAAUAGCGAAGCCCGACCCCCGCACGCCACUGCCAUCCUCGCAAGCCACCCUGCCUCGCCUGUGCUGCACCGCCGCCUUGCAAGCCCGCCAGCCGAGUCGGGCACCGCCACCGACUUUCCACUCGAUUCACCAGCUCCGCUGCCCGCCGGACGAAGCCGGCCCCUUCUAGAGCUUCGGGACGUCGUACAACGGUAGAAGCACCAUCGGUGUAGCCUGGGAGGAUGAGCCACAGCGACGGCUGCGUUCUCUCACCGUAUUAACUCACGUACACGUAAGAUGAACUAGCUUUGCUGGCGGUAUACAGACGCCCUCGCAACCACCGUGUACGUGCCCUAAUCUGUCCUGAAAAUUCUAGAAUGCCUUAUAUUAGGAUAGAGGGACAGAGGUGGUACUCUUCAAAUAUCUAGCCCAAAAACCAUGUCAAGAACUUACAACAUGCCUAUAAAUACCCGACUCAAUUCAUUGCAUGCUGCGACACUCCUACCUUUUGCCUUUUUCUUAACAAAUCCUUGCAAUGUAAAUAUAAAUCAUAAGCAAAUCAAAUCAAUCGAAAUUUUUUAUAUAUCGUUUCUUUGUAAAUAGCCACACCAAGAACAAUGUCUUGUAGUCUGAACAGACGAAAAUGGUGGAUGCCUUGGCUUGCUCAGGUGGCUUCUCAAACUUGUAGUCUUAAUUGAUGAAAAUGGUAAUUGCUUUGACUUGCUCGGGUGUUUUUUUGAGCCCUGGCAACCUGCCAAUUGCCUCACCAAACAAGUUGAUAGCUAGAGUUGCCCAAGCUCAAAAAGAUUAUUGUUCUUUUCUCCUUCAAUAAUGAUUUUGCUCCCAUGUUUUGUGAAGCGCUUUCCACGAUUGUUUUCACAACAUGUUCCAUACUUAUAGCUCAAUGCAAUGCAAAAGCAUCCACAUAUUCCAAUAUUAAUUCACUGGUAUGUGGAAUAUCCAACACCUUCUUGGAUUCUAAAAAUUUUGUGCCCAAGUAUCAAUAUCAGGUGCAACAUUUUCGUGUCAGUUUACCUGUCCGCAUUGCUUCACAUAUCCGUACCUUGUCAAGAAAGGUCUAUUUUCCUGACAGAGAUUUCAUUACCGUCAGUGCAAUGUGACCUUCCACAAUAGCCUGUUGCCGCUUGGUGUCCAUUGUGCUGCCACGGACGGAGUGAUCCCUUUUACAGUUUCUUUCUUUUGUUUUCUGUGGAGGACUUGAGAAGAGUCCGGUUUUCUAGAGAAUACUUUGUGCAAAUGAACAGAAGUAAUGUUCCUCCCUUCUAUACGAAGUUCACGUUAGGUGAGUACUCGAUCAUGUUAUUAAUUUAAUACUAGAUACUCCUCGCUCCAUAUGGUUGCGUGAGUCCGCGAAACUUGCUGACAUUGGCUUCUAGAGCGAGGAAAUAUGUUAACAGGAAUGAGAAUAUAUAACAAGCAGCUCGUACAACUAAGUGCGCGCCUUAUCACCUAAUCACCUAGCCAAGCAUCUAAUCACGUGGGGUACCUUUUUUUAUUUGUCUCCUCUUUGAGUAUCCUAUGCUUGACUUGAACCUAGUCUUGCGUAACCAAUCCAUCUUCUCCCGGGUUACUUUACAAGUUUUGAACUGAAUCAACAUAAGGGGCCUCUCAUAUCAGAACCUCGCUUUGCUCCCUUUCGUUGUGUUCUCCCAGCUAGGAUCCCUCAACUGUUUUUCUCGGCCCCGAGGUUAGUACCUUUAAUCAAGAAGCUGGUGUUUUUUCUGUUCCACAAACAGUUAAACAUAUCUAUGUAUAUUUUGUAAUUAUGUCUAGUUGUAAUACAACUGUUUUGUUUGGAUAAAAGAUCUAGUUGUAACGAUAUGAGUUGUAGCAGCUUAAAUCUAUAUCUAAAAUCAUCAGAAAUGGACACUGGUUCGAGCACGCCAAGCCUGCUGAGUACAGUGCCGAAGGAUCUAUCAGCAGCAUUCCUGCGUGAUAUUACGGAUGGUUUUUCCACUGACAGAGAAAUAGGACAAGGGGCGUUUGGAACAGUUUAUAAGGUAUGUUUACGACCUUUUCUGCGUUUUUCAGAAACUGGUAGGCAUGCCAAUAUAUAGUAUAUGGACGGUUAAACAGGGAAUCCUCCCAGAAGGGGAUUGUAUUGCUGUGAAGAAGCUUGUGGAUGAGGACAUAUAUGACAAACAAUUUCAAAAUGAGAUUACGCAUCUUAUGAAUGUCUGUCAUGAAAAUAUUGUGAGGAUAGUUGGCUUCUGCCAAGAACGUGAAAAGAAAGUUGUGGAGCAUAAUCGAAGAUAUAUUAUUGUAGACUCAGUUGAAAGAUUUAUCUGCUAUGAGUAUUUACCAAAUGGGAGCAUUGAUAAGUGUAUAUUUGGUACGGUAAUUUUUUAUCUUUUCUUUCUUUCUUCACUCAUACUUUUUAAUUUGGAGUGUGGAUAUCAAUUGUUAUAUAUUACUUCAGUUUCCUGCACUAAAAUAUUAUUCUCUCCAUCCCAAAUUACUAUUGCUUUUGUUUUUUCUAGAUAUAUAGUUUUUAUAUGCACCUAGAUAUAUAUUAUCUCUAGGUACAUAGAAAAUGUUAUGUAUCUAGAAAAGUCAAAAUGAAUAGUAAUUUGGGACGGAGGGAGUAUGAUGGAACUGAUUAUGGUUCAGGCUAUGAACAUACGCUUUCUAGUCACUAUGUUAUGAAAAUUGAUGUUUUGGAGGUCCUUAUACCAGAUUACUCAUAGAGGAUCUAUCCUUUUUUCUUUCUUCAGAUGAUACACUUAAUUGGGCUACACGCUUCAAAAUUAUUAAGGGGAUCUGCCAAGGUUUACAUUUCCUACAUGAGGGAAUGGAAACACCUACAAUUCAUAUGUCUCUUCAGCCUGCCAAUGUAUUGUUGGAUGAUAGAAAGGUGCCUAAAAUUACAGAUUUUGGUUCGUCGAGAGUCUUUGGUCGUGCUGAUAAAUCAAUGAUGAUCACACAAAACCCUGUGGGAGUAAUGUAAGUUUAAUUCAGAUAGUGCAAUAAGAGUACUUUCCCAUCAAGUAACAAUGCUUACGAAACUCUUGUUGGUAAUGUCAUUCAGUGGAUACAUGGCUCCAGAAUAUCUUUAUAGAGGUGAAAUCUCAACCCAAGCAGACAUAUAUAGCCUAGGCUUAAUGAUAAUCGAGAUCACAACUAGGAAGAAGAAUUAUUCAGACGAUCGAGACAAGUCUGCCCAGAGAUUUAUUGAUGAAGUAAGGCAGUGUUGAUGAUUAGUUGAUUACAAAAUAAUUUUCAUAGAAGCAUGUGUUACAUUUAUUUCGUGUAUCCGUUUUUACAAAAGAUAUAUUUUUAUUUUUAUUUCGUGGUUUAUUAGUGAGUAUUAUGAGUUGAGUUAUGUAGGUGCGCCAGACAUGGACGGAUGAUGUGUACAUUUUAUCCAAAUACUCCCAAUUGGAUGCAGGCUUACUGCAAGAAGUAAAGGCAUGCAUUCAAACUGGGCUUAAGUGUGUGGAUAUUGAUCGCAAGAGAAGACCUUCCAUAUCUGAAAUUGUUAGACUGCUCAAUGCUGCAUGGUAAACGGUGGACGAGGUAUGACUAGGAAUAGCAUACAUUCCCUCUGGUCUUUGCACAUACUUACCAAAUUUUACUUUGCACAUAUAUAUUUAAAGUCCUUAAUAUUUAUGGGAUUUUGCAAGUGUUGCUCAAUACAAUUCCACAAAUACAACUUGCAUGCUUUCAAACUUAAUAAUGUAAAAGUUAUUGAUGUUUUUAAUUUUUAAUCUUUGACAAAACCUUGUCCUAAACAACAUGUUUUUUAUGACUGGAGUUACGGGGUGUUUGGAUACGAGGUGUUAAACUUUAACAGUGUCACAUCGGAUGUUCGGAUACUAAUUAAGAGAACUAAACAUGAGCUAAUUAUAAAACUAAUUGCAGAACCCUGUGCUAAUUCGCGAGACGAAUCUAUUAAGCCUAAUUAAUCCAUCAUUAGCAAAUGGUUACUGUAGCACCACAUUAUCAAAUCAUGGACUAAUUAGGCUUAAUAGAUUCAUCUCGCGAAUUACACUCUAUCUGUGCAAUUAGUUUUGUAAUUAGCCUAUAUUUAAUACUCCUAAUUAGCAUCUAAACAUCCGAUGUGACGGGUGUUAAACUUUAACACCUGGUUCCAAAUAGGCCCUUAGUAUAUGAUCACUAAUAGUUUUCUUAGUUUUUUGAGAGGAGAGGAGUUUUCAUAGUUUUACAUGCAACAACUACAUAUGAUCACUAUUAGUGGAAUCUUGUACUUCUAUAUAUGGCAAACUGAUCAGGUGAUCUUAACAUGCUAUCUCAAACUACAGGUCUACAUAUAUACCGUGUUCGCAUCAUGAAUAAAAGUUGUCAUUGUGGAGAAGACAUGGCCAAGAUGAAAUAAAGCAUGCUCUAUUAUUUCUAGAAGACCUGAACUUUUCUAUCACAACUAAGAUUCCUUUGAUGUAAUUUCAUUGUGGAAGCUACAUUUACUCCUCUUUUGGAGAUUGACACUCCAAAAGUGAUUUUCGAAGACACCCCAUUUACGGCACAGGUGGUCCACAAGGGAAUACGCUAGGGUCCUCAGUCAUGGAAAGCCUAUAGAAAUGAGUUUCCAGAGAAUGUUGGUUCAGCCGAUCAUGUCUGAAAAAGGUUGCUGACUUAAGUGACUGCGUUAGGAAAUCCCCAUUACUAGACGUAGACACUUAAGCUGAUGGACUAGAAAUUGAUUUCAAGAGAUGGUUCCUCAAUUUGGGCUGCCUCUAGAAACUGUUUUCCACAAGAGGCAAAAGAAAAGGUCAUCCCAUUUCCGUUAUCAAUAGGUUUGUGGUGGGAUGGCAAGGGGGGAUGUUGUUGUGGGUUUAAAGGUUGACACCCCCCCCCACACACACACACACAUUUCACGCAAAAAAUUGCAUGUGUGGUGCAGCUCAAUGGUUUUUACAAAUCUUUUUGUAGUUUUUCCAUGCCCAAUGUUAUCGUAGACAGACCGACAUAACCAAUGUCAUGUGGAAAUGCAUUUUUAGAGGUAAUUAAUUCCAGAGGUAGUGAACUUAGGGAACUUCCUCUAAAAAUGUCUUUUCUUAAUACGAUUGAUUGUCCACCUAUGAAAAUGCACCAUUUCCAUAUGCGAUGUCACACCUGGUUUUAAAAAUAAAUCAAAUGUACACCAUAUGUGUGCCAGGAUCAAGUUUCAAACAUACAACAAGCCAAUAGUGAAUAACAGAUACAGUAUCAUGUACUAACGAGUUCAACUAAUACAAAGUGACAUAAAUCUCUAAACAAAAUAAACAUACAAACGUCUCCUAGCAGCGGAUUACCAUUCUCCAUAGGCAUUCAACUGGGGGAACAUACGCCUAGCACUUAUGGAAAUCUUCUAAUACUAACAUCCUCUUGUUCUGAGCAGCAUUCAUUGUGUGGUACAAAUAUAUGUAGGAAAUAGCAAGUGUGAGUACAUGCCGUACUCCCACUACUACAGAAGAGGCCAUCACCGCUGGGCUAUCACCACCAGUUAUAGAUGAAUCAUUUGUGAUGCCUUUUCACUGUCGGUUUUGGAGCAAAUGGGGGCAGCAGCCUUUACAACCGGCGGUGGUGCUCGUUUUCAUUGCCGGUUCCUUAUUGAGCCGCUAGUUUCAAGCAAGAGCCAGCAGCGAUACUCGAUGCGAACCUGAAAUUUUUCUUCAACCCAAUUUAGAAAACGACUUUGCGUCCACUUGCCUCCCUCUCCCCACUCCUCCCCUCCCCCACCCUCUCUCCACCCCCUCCCUCUCUCCCUCUCACCCCAGCCCUCUAUCCCACUCUCCGCGGGCCCCCUCCCUCCCUUCCUCUCCCGCCGGCCCUCCCCUUCUCUCCCUCUCCGUUCGCCGCCCCUCCGCUUGCUUCCGCACCCCCCCCUUUCCCCCUCCACUCGCUACCCCCUCGGCCUGGCAUAGAGGAGCGCUGGCAGCGUGCAGGGAUCCGCAGCGGCAUGGCAGGAUCCGCGGCUGGCAGUAGGGAUCCACAAUGCAGCGAGGCUCCAGUGACAUCAAGAUGUGCGGGGUAAGCAGCGGCAGUGACAAGGCCGGGUCAACGGUGGCGGCUGCAGCGUGAGUAGCAGCAGCGAUGCUACCUAGGGGCCCACGGUGGGCGCGGUGCGAUGGCGGUGGGGACGCCAGGUAUAUUUCUUCUUUUUUUUGUGAUGUGCAUCACCGUCAGUUCCUGGUUUAGCGGUGAUAGGGACUCCUAUCACCGCCGACCUAAUAAUGUCCUCACUCAAAAUGAGGGUUGCCUAUAUCAUAUUGAGAUAUGAGAUACAUCCCCCUAAUGCUGUUCUAUGGACAUUCUUGAGGCACUGACUCUGGAGCCAAAAAAAAGGUUUAGUCAACGAGCACAAAAGUUUCAUACUAGAACCACUAGACCUAUGCUAGUCAAUUCACUGUGCUAAGGGCACAUGCAAGAGCUACAACCACCCUAUGCCCAUUGAUCACAAUUAAUUUGAAAGGAUGUUUAUGGAUGCUUUUGUUUACCAUAAGUGUAAUAAAUCUUGUAGUCAUUUUCGGCACAAGUCUUGCAGCUAGCCAAUAUAAUCCAAGUUUUUGGUACCCUAUAAUCCAAGAUAAGAUAUAAUCUCCUACUGUUUUCAAAUCUCAGAAUCUUUUGCAGUAAUCUCCUACUGUUUUCAAAAAGUGGUAUGUCAAUCGUAACAGGAUUAGACAGAGGGAAGUACCGAAUGGUUGCUUGCAGAUGAGGUGAUUCUAACUUUAGACUUUGCAUGUAGACGGCGUGGAGGAUAUGAAUAGUUGCAUGCAGAUGAGAUGGUGCUGACAUUAGCCUUUGCAUGUAGAUGGCGUGGACGAUUUGAGGUAAAUGACACAAGAACACACACCAUAUAUAUAGUGGCAUUGUUGGACCUUGUUUAGUUACCCCAAAAUCCCAACUUUGGCACUAUGCAAAAAUAAGAUUCCCCAUCACAUCAAACUUGCGGUACAUGCAUGGAGUACUAAAUGUAGACGAAAUAAAAAACUAAUUGCACAGUUUUGUUGUACUUUGCGAGACGAAUCUUUUGAGCCUAAUUAGUCAAUAUUUGGACAAUAAUUCAUAAAUACAAACGAAACACUACAGUAUGCUACAGUGCUGGCACAGUGAUUUUGGUUGUCCAAAAUUGGGCAACUAAACAGGGCCUCGUUCUCUUCUCAUUAAUUGUUAAUAGAAGUUACUACAUGUACCUAGAACUCCUAAACUAGGUGUCCUAUCAUAUGAUUUGCAAUUAAUUCCAUUAAGCUUGAAGCAGGUGGAAAGGGCACUUGCAUCGAUAGGAGGCGCACGUGCACAGAGAGUCUGUUAUGUCUUUUAUCUUUUAAUGAAACUAGGUGGCGUUGGGGCUGCUGGCCUUUCCUCGCUGUUUAGCAUCCUGAGAACAUCCGGCAUGGUUGGCCGCUCCCUUGGAUUGUCUUGGGUGCACAACAGUCCGAUAUGUAUUCUUCUUUCCACUUCCUGUAGCUGUGACUCUCCACAAGAUGCAGAGUCAAAUAAAUCCUUCAGACUCUGAGCUUCCCGUACCUCCCAAGCCUGUGAAAAAGGUGUCAGUGUGUAUAACAAGGCAACAAGUAAAACCCAUUGUGUAACUGAAGUUCUUCAUGUGGUCAGCUAAGUUGCCAUUUUCUUCAGAUCCGUCUAACCAAUUUUGAUUAACGUGUUGGAUCAUUAACACACUAUUGCUUCUUGACUGCAUCAUUUUGGUCGAGAUUGGUCACUGACUAGUCCUAAGAUGAACAUCCACAAAUUCAAACAAUGAUGACCUAUAUGCUACGUUAUUGAGACUGCUAUUUCUUUGAUAAUCUUAUACUUGUCUGUAUUGAAAGAUCAUGUUGAUGUUUGGUGUAGUAAAAUUUGGAAAGGUAAGAGAACUUUUGAGAUUAUACGAGGCUACUACCCAAAGUAUGAGGUGGCACCCAAAUAGAACGACAUAUCCUUAAAAGGAACAACAUGACAUGAAGAGAUGAGCAAUUAUAAACCAAUCCAGUUUUUUAUGCUCAGAAAUUAUUGCUAGCGCUGACAGCGAGCAAGAUGCAGAAUUACCAAAUAAAGUAUGACCUACAAAAGGAUUCCUCUUUUUUUUGUGUCACAGCUGAUUACACUUUUUUCCCUUGUUGAAAAAAGUGGACAGUUUAAGGCCAAUAUCUCCACCGAAGUAUGGAUAUCAGAAUAGAUCGAAUAAUGAUGAAUGCAAAAAAGAGAAAACCUUUAUCUGAACAAGUUCCUUGUGAAGAUACCCAACCAAUGCCUGCCUAUAAAUGUUUUACGUACCCACUCAAUUGAAUGUUGGAGAAGUCCAGACCUGCUCAUUCCUCUAAUGGUAGAUAAGACUAAGAGGCCAAAACUGUAGACAUCAUUCUUGGCUGAGAUGACACCUUGAGCAAUAUAUUCUGGAGCCAUAUAUCCCCUAAAUGGUGAAAAAAUAAAUAAAUGGGUCAGCAGAAGGGGGGAAGCGACAAGAAGCUUGAUCGUGCAUGUCAUGGCAACAAAAAUACAGUAUAUAUGGAAAGUCGUCCUACAGGGUGCCUGCUAACUCUUCCGUGACUUCUUGAGUCACCUCUUGAUCAAAUAUUUUGCACAUUUCAAAAUCACAGAUUUUAGGGUUCAUAUUAGAGUCAAACAGGAUGUUUUCUGGCUUCAAAUCCAUAUGGAUAAUGUUUUUCCAGUGCAGAUGAGCUAUGCCUUGUGCCAUCCCUUGAAUUAUUUGGAAUAUGAUAGACCAAUCCAUCUGCGGACACUGUCCUGGAAAAUUAAAAAAUCAAACAUCCUAUAGAGUUAACAUUGUUAAGCUAAAUUUUGCUCCAAAUGAUAACUGGAGUCAUUCUUUAAGUGGAAACAUGCCUUCGAUAAUGUCGGACAAGUUUCCAUUCGGGGUGUACUCUUCGACCACUAUCAUACUAGUUAUUUCAGCCUCCACAUAGCGGCCCUUGUAUAGCAUCUUCUCGUAUGUGGUUUCCUGGCAAUAUCCGAGAAAGCAAACUAUAUUUUGGUGCUGACCCAGCAAUGCAAAGACAUUCACAUAAUGAUCUACAUCUCUUCGUAAGUGCCGAGCUGCACAAAAUCUCUUUAUGGCAACCAAUACGUCAGAUAUUACACCCUGGAUCAUAGGCAGCAAUUUUAAUCACGAAUGCAGUUAACGUGAUAUUAUAAUUUGAAUGCCUCAAACAUAAUUAAAAUACCAAGCAUAUGGAGUACCUUGUACACAGUAGCACUGCCACCUCUCCCAAUCAGGUUGUGUUCCGAGAAGUUAUUUGUAGCGGCCUUCAUCUCAGAUAAACUGAACAUUCUAAAUCCUGUCAUAAAAACAGGUACACAUACAGGCAUAAAUGAUGUUCUGCAAACACACACCAGCAAGAUCACUAUCACUAGUGAAUAAUAAAUAGCUCGAAUUCAAGAUCAAAGAGGCCGGUAAACAAAUAUGUGAUCUUACCUGAUUGGUUGAGAAAGUGCUCCAUACAGGCUGGAUCACUUUUUCUCUCACCAUCAGCUCCAAAUCUGUCAUCGUACAUUCGAUAAGCAAAAUGAGUGCCCUCCGAUCGAUGUAAUAAUACUGAAUGGAGGUAGACCAAUGGUGGUAGCAUAAUGGUAAGGUUUUAGAUGCUUCCUCCAUCCCAAUUGUAAAUCGUUUUGGCAUUUCACCUAGAAAUGCCAAAACGAUUUACAAUUUGCGACAAAGAGAGUAGUUUACCAGGGCUUUUAUGGAAAUAAAAGCUAAAAUUGCGCAAGUGCAUACUUUGAUGGUAUACAGACUUGCCAAGGGAAUUACAGUUUUUCGUAAUGGUGAUUAAUUUCUAUGUUGAACUCACUAAGUAUUACAACAUAUAAUUUACUAUGCUACAAUUGGAAUGGCACACUGUAAAUAUCAGACCUAGUAUCAUUGUUUGACGCACUGCUAGACGAGCUCUCCACUGCCCCUAGAUGGCCAGCAUCCUGAAAUAGAAAACCAAAUCCCUCAAGGUAUUAUUGAUGAAAUUUUUAUCCUAUCUUAUUAGUUGAAAUGGAAGAGCUAGGAAGUACCAAUUGAAUGAUACCCCUGAAAUAAAGAAACUAUCUAAAGGUUGCUGCGAAACAAAAGAAACUGUCCGUAUAUUGAUCUUGACGAGGUGAGGUGGGACACUUAAAUCUGUUAAUGCCGGACCCAACACCUGGGUCAACCGUGCUUGCGGUAGAGGCAUACAUUCUACAAAUAUGAUACGUACAGGUUGCAUCUGUCCAAUUUUUAUUCUUAACAAAAUGAGUCUAUCAACCCAAAGCUAAUGAAAAACAUGGAGAAGUUUCUCUAAAAUGGUGGAUAGAAUCGUAAGGAACAUUAUAUAUGGAAGUGACAAAAUUAAAAAUACGCUGUAAAGAUGUAGUACCUGUGUAAUCCAGUUUGCGGCCGCAAUUUGGUCCAUGAUAACCUGGUUUACCUGGCGCAACUCUUUGGUCAGGUAUCCAGUUGCACCCAGGUGAAUGUUGCGCGUCGACUGGCAGGCCCUGACAAGCUUCAGCGCCCGAUACAGGGUCUCCUCGAGGUUCUCAAGCGCCUGGAUCAUCGCCUGGUCCUUCACCAUCUCCAAAUUCUCCAUCUUUGACAGGAUAGCACUUAAUCUGCUUACGCGCCUUCCGAUCUCAUAACAAUCAGCCUUAUUCUUUCGAACGGUGUCGACCGCCUCCUUGAUCUGGAGCGCAACCUCGACAAUGUUCCUCACCCUGCCCAAUGCAUCGGACAUCCUCUCUCUAGGGGAUUAUAAUCUGCAGAUCGAAAGGAUAAGGGAGUCGUAUCGAAUCAGACGAACAAGCCUGAUGAACCAACUGGAACAAACAAAAAAAGCUCUUCGAUUUUCUUUCUCAAAGCAAUCAAAGCAAAUAAAGAAGCAAGCAUAAACCUGGCGUCUUCGGCCCUCCUUUACUAGCUGCGUCAGGGAUCUCUUCCUCCAAGCUAUGGUACGCCCGGAGCAUCCGGUGUUCGCCGGGAAUCAAGUCUGCUCGAUGGGCAAGCUUAUCUGAUAGGGACAUAAACAAUUCCGUGAAAAACAAAUAAAGGCCAGUGUGCUCUGUAAGAAAUAUAAACCAAUAAAAUACAUCUUGGCAGAAUGGGGUCAAGUGGGUCUAUAGUCUAUUCUUGUGGCAGCAAGCUGAUCCUUUAUAAUAACGCUGGAUCGGAUCUCGAUCUCCUUGAAUAGCGCUCCACUAACCCACUAAUGCUUGUCUCGUACUCCACCCACCGAUACCCAGCCCAAAAACUAUGCAUCGGGGAUUGACUUAACUUUUUGUUAUUUCGAGGUCUAAUUGAUAACACUGUUUGAAUUACGUAUGGGUUGCCUGCUGCUGGUAAAUACAUCUAUUUAUCCGUCAGCAAAAACAUGCCUGCUGGGAAAUAUUAGUUCUGACUUCUGAGCGCAUACCAGCUGUCAGUUAACAUAUUGUCUGUCAGCAAAUCCCUGCCAGGGCUUACGAUAAGUGGUCUGUCAGAAGACGUCAUCCCCCAACGGGUACAGUACGGCAUAUUACCUUCUUUGUGUUUCAUGAUGAAUGCACGGUUGUCACACCUUGAAAUUUUUGGAUCUCACGAUGUGAUUAGGAAGAAUAAUUAAACAAUGAUUUUUCUCAUAAUUUUAAAAUUUGCCAACAUUUGUUUUCUUGAUAGGAAAUUUAGUGUAGGAAAAUAAUUGGUUGUUUUUCCUAAACUAAAUGAGCUUGUUCUAUGUGUGUGCAUUCAUGCCCAUGCAUCUUGGUGUUUAUUGAGUGCAAAGGUUUUAAAAAUAUCUUUAGACGACGACCAGGUUCUUCUGAGAAUUUACCAAUUUUUUCUGGAAAUUAUUCUCAUUUUCCUAGAGCUAAAUCCUUUUCCCAAGCUCCAGUAAUUUUAUUUAGACUCCUCGUGUCCCAAACUAUCUCUAGGAAUUUUCCUGGAAUUUUUAGGAUUUUCAGAGUAUUUUUUGUGGGUUUUAUUGAAUUAUCUGGAUUUUUCUUUAUACGGGAAAUUACUUCUGAAAAUAAAAAGAAAAGAAAACCUCAACCUACCCUUUUGGGCUAAGCCCGCACCCAAAAGCUCUACCAUAGCCCAACUCUCCUUCCCUCCCUCGAGCCUCGCUAGCUCAGCCCAGUCCAGGCCCGACCAGCCAAGCCAGGCCCGAUUGGGACCAUAUGCUCUGCAGCUCUCUCCCAAGCUGCACAGGCAGGCAACGCCACCGCCACGCCCUUUUGGUGUGCGUGCCACGCCAGGCGCAGCCACCCGCGCCCUAUCAAUAGCGAAGCCCGACCCCCGCACGCCCCUGCCAUCCUCGCAAGCCACCCUGCCUCGCCUGUGCUGCGCCGCCACCUUGCAAACCCGCCAGCCGAGUCGGGCGCCGCCGCCAACUUUCCACUCGAUUCACCAGCUCCGCUGCCCGCCGGAUGAAACCGGCCCCUUCUAGAGCUUCGGGACGUCGUACAACGGUAGAAGCACCAUCGGUGUAGCCUGGGAGGAUGAGCCACAGCGACGGCUGCGUUCUCUCACCGUAUUAACUCACGUACACGUAAGAUGAACUAGCUUUGCUGGCGGUAUACAGACGCCCUCGCAACCACCGUGUACGUGCCCUAAUCUGUCCUGAAAAUUCUAGAAUGCCUUAUAUUAGGAUAGAGGGACAGAGGUGGUACUCUUCAAAUAUCUAGCCCAAAAACCAUGUCAAGAACUUACAACAUGCCUAUAAAUACCCGACUCAAUUCAUUGCAUGCUGCGACACUCCUACCUUUUGCCUUUUUCUUAACAAAUCCUUGCAAUGUAAAUAUAAAUCAUAAGCAAAUCAAAUCAAUCGAAAUUUUUUAUAUAUCGUUUCUUUGUAAAUAGCCACACCAAGAACAAUGUCUUGUAGUCUGAACAGACGAAAAUGGUGGAUGCCUUGGCUUGCUCAGGUGGCUUCUCAAACUUGUAGUCUUAAUUGAUGAAAAUGGUAAUUGCUUUGACUUGCUCGGGUGUUUUUUUGAGCCCUGGCAACCUGCCAAUUGCCUCACCAAACAAGUUGAUAGCUAGAGUUGCCCAAGCUCAAAAAGAUUAUUGUUCUUUUCUCCUUCAAUAAUGAUUUUGCUCCCAUGUUUUGUGAAGCGCUUUCCACGAUUGUUUUCACAACAUGUUCCAUACUUAUAGCUCAAUGCAAUGCAAAAGCAUCCACAUAUUCCAAUAUUAAUUCACUGGUAUGUGGAAUAUCCAACACCUUCUUGGAUUCUAAAAAUUUUGUGCCCAAGUAUCAAUAUCAGGUGCAACAUUUUCGUGUCAGUUUACCUGUCCGCAUUGCUUCACAUAUCCGUACCUUGUCAAGAAAGGUCUAUUUUCCUGACAGAGAUUUCAUUACCGUCAGUGCAAUGUGACCUUCCACAAUAGCCUGUUGCCGCUUGGUGUCCAUUGUGCUGCCACGGACGGAGUGAUCCCUUUUACAGUUUCUUUCUUUUGUUUUCUGUGGAGGACUUGAGAAGAGUCCGGUUUUCUAGAGAAUACUUUGUGCAAAUGAACAGAAGUAACGUUCCUCCCUUCUAUACGAAGUUCACGUUAGGUGAGUACUCGAUCAUGUUAUUAAUUUAAUACUAGAUACUCCUCGCUCCAUAUGGUUGCGUGAGUCCGCGAAACUUGCUGACAUUGGCUUCUAGAGCGAGGAAAUAUGUUAACAAGAAUGAGAAUAUAUAACAAGCAGCUCGUACAACUAAGUGCGCGCCUUAUCACCUAAUCACCUAGCCAAGCAUCUAAUCACGUGGGGCACCUUUUUUUAUUUGUCUCCUCUUUGAGUAUCCUAUGCUUGACUUGAACCUAGUCUUGCGUAACCAAUCCAUCUUCUCCCGGGUUACUUUACAAGUUUUGAACUGAAUCAACACAGGAAUUUUCGUGGAAUUUUUAGGAUUUUUUGAGUAUAUUCCGUGGCUUUAAUUGAAUUAUCUGGAUUUUUCUUUAUACAGGAAAUUACUUCUGAAAAUAAAAAAAAGAAAACCUAAACCUAACCUUUUGGGCCGAGCCCGCACCCGCGAGCCCAACCAUGGCCCAGCUCUCCUUCCCUCCCUCUAGCCUCGCUGGCUUUCCGCUCGAUUCACCGGCUCCGCUGCCCGCCGGACGAAACCGGCCCCUUCUGGAGCUUCGGGACGUCGCCCCGCACACCCGCCGCUACACCCUGUCGUCGUUUGGCCGCCGGAGGAGCCCCGCCCUGUGGAGCCCGAACUAGCCGCCGCCUCCACAGUCCGCCAUCGAUUCCGGCCGGUGCCGUCGUCCUCUACCGUCGGUGAGCACGCCCCCGUGACCCUCUCGACCUCCUCUAUCUCCUUCGCCACCCACCUAAGCCCCUACCUCUCAACCACCGGCGAUUUCAUCUCCCAGUGCGCCGUCCGCCAUGGCCAAAAGCUCCUCGAGCUUUUCCGUGGAGGCCCCUGAAGAAAUCUAUAAUUAUUCCAAGAUCUCUGUGUCUUGGAUCUUUUUUGAAAAGCCCCCUAGAUCUAUUAGGUUCCUUCAACCGAGCCCAAGCCGUGAUCUAUUUCAGAUCGAACCCUGCUCUUUAUCGUAUUCACGGGCACUAUGUGUCUCGGGAAUCUUCCUCGCUAGCCCUUGUUCUCUAGGGUUAAUCGCGAUUAGACCCCUGCAGCUUGAUUAGCUCGUAGAUCUUAUGUUUCAACUCCGUUUAACCUCUUUCUUGUUGCGUUAGAUUCAUAUCAAUUUAAAUUACGCAUUAGAAGCAAUGUUAAUCAUUUUAUCUAUUUUAUAAUUUACUUCAAAUAUUAAUAUGAUUAAGUACUUACAUACUUGUUUUUCUAAUUAAAAUACAAUAGAGUUUAACCCCGUGUUUUCAUGCUAAUGUUAAUUUGUUUAAUGCUUAUCUAAAUAAUUUUUCCAAUUAAUAGCUAACUAGAGUUAUACCUCGGUUUUCAUAGUCAAACUUAAAUUGAUUAAUGUUUAUUCAAUUUGCUUUCUAAACAAAAGUUGCAUAGGUUCUAUCUCGAGUUUUCGUAAUUAAAUGUUAAUUUGGUUAAAUAUAAAUAUAAAUAUAAAUGUGUUUCUGAAUUAUAAUUUGUCUAGUUCAACACGAAUCAUAAAGUUAUGCGCUUAGAUCUUCCCACCUAAGUUAUUUUCCAAAUAAAUGUUUAACUAGUAUAAUUUAUACAUGAACAUUUAUAAAUAAAACUUGAGUAGGAUUUACCUCGGUUUUUGCCAAUAGAGUAAAAUUUGCAUUAUUUCUAAAUUAGGGUAUUUUCUUUCCAAAAUAUCCUUUAGAUAUGUUUUGCUAAUUAAAAUAAAUCCAGCAUAUAGCCUUGUGUGCUCUCAUAAUUGUUUGAUAGCCGUCUUUGUUAGCUUUAGCUUUGUAUCUCUUUUGUAGAUCUAGUCUUCUGUAAAGCUUUAGAUCUUUGUAGUUCCAGAUCAAGCUCACACUCAGUUUCUUUCACAAAUCUAGCCAAGCCUUUCCUUUUCAAGCACGGUUUGUGUGCUUUAGUGAUCCAAAUAGUUUAUCUUAGAGUUUUUGUUCUGCCUAAUAGUUUUGGUCUUCAUGAGUAGUUUGGUGCUGCUCAUUUCCCUAGCUAGUAUAUUUUUUAUCAUGCUUGUUUCCUGUUCCUCUUAGAAACCUGUUUAUCAAAAGCUAGCUCAUAAUUACUAUGUCCUAGUUGUCUCUUUGUGAGUCAGCUAUGUUCGUUAUGGCCAAACCUUUCGCAGCCAUCUCUUUAGAGCUAAUCUUGUUAGUUGUGUCUCUAUCGACCAGUUCAGUUUAGCUUUGACUAGUUUGUUAUCUUUGCAACCUAGUUGCUCUCUUUGUAGACUAGUUUUCCCUAAACCAUAGUUUAAGGUUUUCUUCUGCGCUCUAAAGUCUGAUUUUGAUGUUCUUGUUCACUUAACCAUAACUUAUGCGAUAGCAAUGUGUAUUGCCUGUUGCUUGUCUUUAAAAUCAAAAUUGAAUGUCAAUUUGACUAAUACUUAUUAAACCAGUUUUCUAAUUAAAAGUUUACUAGUUAUACAAUAUGGGAUUUCAUAUAAAAUUUUAAACUUUACUAAUUCUUAUUCAAUUAGUUUUCUACAUAAAAAUUUAUUAGGUUCUAUCCCGGAUUUCAUAAACUAAGAUUUAAUUAAUUAAUUCCUAUUUAUAACUAGCUUUUCUAAAUAAAAUAUACCUAGUGUCAUACAUCAUUUUCCAUGAAUGAAGUUAAUAUGCUUAAUGGUAUUAUAAACACCUUUUUCACAUUAAUAUGUUUAGCUGAACACAAAAUACAAAGUUAUUCGAUUAGAUGUCUUAUACAUGCUCUGUGUUUCUAAAGUUAACUGUUAAAUUGGUGUAACUUGUACUUCAAUAUUUACAAAUAAAAUAUGAUUAAAUUUAUCACGUUUUCAAUGUUCAAAUAUACCUUCUGUUAAUUCCAACUAAGGAUAUUUCUCUAAAAUAUCUACGCAUUGUUUUUUAUUAAAAUCUAAAGUUAACUGUUAAAUUGGUGUAACUUGUACUUCAAUAUUUACAAAUAAAAUAUGAUUAAAUUUAUCACAUUUUCGAUGUUCAAAUAUACCUUCUGUUAAUUCCAACUAAGGAUAUUUCUCUAAAAUAUCUACGCAUUGUUUUUUAUUAAAAUAUAUCAAGCAUAUAGUCUUUUUAUUUCUUUGAUAAUUCAAACCUCUCGAUAGCUUUGUCUUUUCAUCCAUAGUUUCAUUUUCAGCAUUUUUUCUACGUUGCGAUCUUAGAAUCAAGCCCUAUCCUUUGGUAUGAUCUUUUAAAGCUUUUCUUUUGAUUGGUGUACUGUUCUUAGUUGUGCUUGUUUGUUUGCUCUGUAUGGUUGUGCCGAUGAUUGUUUUGAGUAGAAGGAUUGCUAUUCGAAAGCUUUGAAGAUUAAGAGUUUCAAGAGAGCAAGAGCUGAAGAGCAGUAAGAGUAAUUUUUCAUUGGAGAAAGGCAAGUGUCCCCAACCUUCCUUCUAUCUAUGAUUAUUUAAAUACCAUGCAUGCAUUAAUUGGAACAUUGAGCGACCACCCAAGAAAACAAUGCAACCACAAGAACUACAUGGCUCUAGUCUUGGCUAAUUAAUUAGAUACUCUUGUUUGAAGCGGUCUUACCGAAAGGGCAAGAGGGGUGACGGCAGAUGGGGUAUAACCCAACCCUCAGACCGAUAUGCUCAAUGGUAGCUUCGCAGUCUUGAGAGAGGUUUACGCUCUGCUACUUAUCCGGAAACCUUAGCUGGCUACAUCUUAUUAGGGAAUCUUUGUAGAGGUCUUAUAGCUUCCCUAUGCAGUCACAUCUCGGUAGUGUGAUGAGUGCUUGAUUAGCACAGUAUGGUUGGGUCUAAAGUUUUUCUGAACUUCUACGCAACUUGUGGUGAAAAUGUACAACUUCUGCAGAGUGUUAUAUCAACUGUGCUCACAGUCAAGAGUGGCCUGAACCCUCACAUGAUUAAUAAACUUGAAGAUAUACUUAAAUCAUUAUUUUGGUUAUUUUUUGUGUUCUUGCUGAGUAGCAACCAUAAGUGUACUCACCCUUGCUAACCGCUGCUCAGAAUAAGGUGUCUGAAGUUAUUGAAGAUGAUGCUAGGCGUACGCAGCCCCAAUUGAUUGCUUGUGAAGUCUGAAGUCUUUGUUUUCAGGAUUAAGCUGUAUAUCUCUGAUAGACUCGUAAAUUUUUAUUUAUAUUCCUUUACGUGAUACUGUUACUGUUAUUCACUGAUAAUGUCACUAUAUGUAUGAUACUUGAUUAUGGGAUACAUAGGUAGCACUUGGUUUUGUUUUAAAAUCUGGUGUGACAUCGGUUCACAUCAAGCGUGACGAUAAGAAUUUAUAUAAAUGUUGCCCAACCACCCGAAUAUCAUAAAUUGAAGGUAUGUUUGAUUUUUUUACCAUACUUACCUGUGGCUAAACUCCAAAUGCUAGUUUUAGAAUAGUCGUAAUGGAAUUGCCAAGGGCGAGAGAAGAAUUGUUACUGUUGUGCCAUAACCCACAUUGGCUUAUGUGUCUAGACAGCUUAGAUGUCCAGCGUGGCCUAGCGCAUUUUAUGUAAACAUUUACAGGUGCACUGCUGCUGAUUUUAUGUAAUUAUUAAACCUAAUGCAGUUUCAUCAUGGCAAGAUGCAUUAAAGAAAGAAAGGGAAAGACAAAAUGAAAUACACCAAAGAGUUCAGUUCCAGCUGAAAACGUGUCUGCCCCAAGCGAGCUCCUAUACAUCUUCUGUGUUGAUUGCACAGCCCAUAAGGCCCAGCAAUUUACAGCCCAAGCAGCAAUAAUACACAUGCGCCGCAGGCCCCAAUACGAAUAUGUAAGUAUGGGGAAAAAAAAAGAUACGUACCACCUAAGCAGCAUGCCACGGCAGGCCCCAUCAGCCACCAGCCGAAGAUACGUGUUGCUUUACUAUUUUUAUUCAUAUUCCAUUCUACAGUAAUCCUCCUAAUACUAUAUUCAACAUUUUGUGCGAAUUGAUUCAAACAUUCAAAAUAACUAGUUAAACAUUUUGAUAAAACGAAUGCAAAAUUUUCUUAAAAUGUUGAAAUAGUAUAUUAAAAAUGUUGAAUAAAAUGUUGGAAUAGUGUAUUAAAUUUCAACAUUUUUUAUAAAUGCAAAUUCAACAUUUUUAAUAAAAUAUUGAAAUAGCGUAUUAAAAAUGUUGAAAUAGAAUUUAUGAUCUAAUAUAUUCAAAUAAUAAACUAAUAUAGUUAACAUUUUAAAUAAUAGAUUCAUCAUUUCUUUGCAUACUUAACUGUUGGGUAGUUCAUCAAAAAUUUUGAAUUUUAAAAAUUAGCAAAGAUAUAUUCGGAUAUCAUUAUGUUCGAUUAAUUCUCAAUAAUGUAGUGGUUUAAACGAUUAAAAAGGGUUCCCAGUUUGGGAGAAAAAUGCAUUUGAAGUUUGGAAUCCAAAAGCACCAUGCAACCACCACAAGAACCACACUGUCUGUCCUCCCCAUCAGCCGUGCAUGUUCUUUUCUACCUGGAGCCAUGGUGCGCCUGGGCUGUUGCUGUCAAUUGUGGUGGAAAAGGCAAAAUCAUUCCUACAGCUUGGAGAGUACGACACAAGUCGCGAGCAUUGGAAGAUGCUUAAGAAAAAAUUCUUCAAGAAGACACAUAGGAUUUCCAGCCCGGUCCAGCCUAGAAGAGUUUGACCCGCCCAUCAGUCUGUUCAGGCCUAUUAACUUCAGGUCCAAUUAGAAUGUGGGUCGUCCAUUCUCUCUCCUCUCAUAAAAAGACUCGUUCUGUCCUGCGUAACCCAUGGGCCGGCCCAGCUUCCUGUCGCGCUCGUGCCCAGAGCUCGCAGACGGAGGACGGGGAGCCACCAGUGUGGCACUCCGAGGGGCGACCGCGGCGGCGGGGGCACUGAGCAGUGAGCACAGCACAACCCAAUGCUAGCGCAUCGGAGAAGGGCGCGGAUGCCUCGACGAUCUCCGAAGGGUCCCACUGUAAUCUCGUCCGCCAUGUCCGACGGCCUCCUGCAGCCGCGUGCGUUCAAGCAGGUGAGAUCCCACAACUAAGGUUCGUGGCCACGGUCGGAUUCCCGGCCUGAAAGAAACUUAUCAGCCACCUCGUUCUGUUCAUGCUUCUUUGUGCUCUCCAAAUUAAAGUUUCCCCAAUUUUGAUGUAAAUUUCGGUCACGCGCAUGUGGUGUGGCAGUCACCGGAGUGUUGGCAAUACACAUAAAAUCGACAAAUACAUAGACAUCGUAGAGUCUUGGCACUAUGCAUAACUAAUAUCUUACGAAUUUCCCUGUAUGGUCUAACAAGUGCCCUGAAAGGUUGUAACAAGUCUAAGAUGGUGUAGCUUAGUCUCCACUUACCGUCCAUAUCGACCGAGUCUGAGGAGGACGUUACUUCUUCCAGAUGCUGACAAACAACUGCAGAGCACUCCGUCCAUCCUUCUUACUCGCAUUGAGCCCCUUCUCUCCUUCUCGAGACCAAUUCCAAGAGGCAAAACUUUUGGAAACUUUGGAGCAAUGGCAUGGUGCUUAAGUGUAUUAUUGUCAUGCGGUGCAGAACCUGAUUCCUUUCACCCAUUAUUAUUGUCAUGCGGUUGAUUCUGAAAACUUUAUUUUGCUCAGGUUCUAUUUCCAUGUUGCAGAGCCUCCAUGCCUGGUCGAGGCACUUUGUCCUCAACAUCAACUAAAGGUGUGUUUGGAUGGAGGGACGUGACGGAAUGGGAUCAUCCCACUUUUACAUAUGUUUGGUUGGAGGUUAGGUGGGACGAGGACGGCAUCAAAGUAAAAUAUUCUUCGAAAAAGAGGGAUGAAACAGUUCCUCCAAAUCGGUCGGACCAAUCCGUCCCACUUCGAUGACACAAACACCGUGACGAGCAAGACGACACAAACGCCGUGACGACACAAACGCCGUGACGAGCGAGCGCCUCGAGCGCAAGCGCACGUCCAACUCCAGCGCAGCGCCACGAGAAAAGCCAGGCGGCAGGGGCACGUAGCUCGGGCGGUAGAGGAAUGGAGCUGGGUGGUGGGGAGGGUGGAGCCCGGUGGCGCAGGGGACCGCCAGGAGGAGACGGGGAUCGACCUCCUGGGUUCCAGUUCCACCCCACCAACGAGGAGCUGGUGGUGCAGUACCUCCGUCGGAAGGCCCUGUCCCGCCUGCUGCCCGCUGCCAUCAUCCCCGUCAACCACGACCAUGCCAGGCUGGAUCCAUGGGACCUCCCUGGUGCGUCCGCACGCUCUCUUUCAGAUUAAUGGGAAGGAAGGCUGAGACAGAGUGUUCUGAUGUUCCUUGAUUGAUUGGUGUGUGUACAGGAGCGAGCGAAGGGGAGGGGUACUUCUUCAGCGCGCCUUCGUCGAGCAGCGGCCGCUGGAGGAGAGCUAGCAGCGGGUACUGGAAGGCCACGGGGAAGGAGAAGCCUGUGUUCCUGCAGUGCGGCGGCAAGCGGCAGCUGCUCGUGAGCGUCAAGACGGCGCUCGCCUUCCAUCGCAGCGAGCCGUCAUCGUCACAGGGGACCGCCGGUAGGAGACGGGAGGGCGAAGCCUGGCGGCGCGGGGUGGUGUGGGCCUCGGCUGCGGUGGCGCGGGUGAUUGCGCCGCGACACGCCGAGAAGGGGAUGAGGCUCUGAGGCUAAUAGUGAGCUCCGCGGCUAACGGAAUACAAACACCGUUUAUUUCAUCGGUCCUCAUCCCUCAAACCAAACAACGAAAUUAGGAUGUUCCCAUCUUUCCAACCAAACAUUAAGUGGGAUCAUCUCAUCCUAAAAAAGAGGAUGAUCCUAUCUCAUCCCACCUGUCCCUCCAUCCAAAUACACCCUAACUGCGCCGGUCGAUGUGAUUGCGACUGCUUGUUCUUACCGGACUGGUUAUAUGAAGCUGGCAUCAGAAGUAACCAGGUUCUGAUCCUCCCUGUGUUGAGUUCCAGCUAAUAUCACUCUAGGAUCAGUGCAAUGAAUGGUUUCUGUGAAAUCCAUCUUCAUCUCCUUUCGUUCCAAAAAACUAUCCUGUUAUCUAAGGAAGCUCCCAACUGCAAUCCACUCCUCCGUAUUUUUUGGGUCCCGGAAGAUAGAACUCUUUUUCAGUGUACAUUCUAUUUUCGGUAUAAUUAACAUACAUUAUGAAAAUCUAAGAAUGAGGCCCCCUCCCCCCGAGAGAGGCGACGCCCAUGGUGACACCCCGCCCGUACACCAACCUCGUCCCAGACCCCCCACCCCAGUAACCUCCACCAACCAACCGGCCCCAGAUCCGAGCGCAUCUGUAGAAGACCUCCAAGCUCGUACUAGCCGUGUCGUGAGGGAGCAAGAGAAGGAGGAGAUCGAGUUCACUCAGAAGAAGGUCCAAGAUCCAGAUCCCAUCGGUGAGGUCGCAGUACAGGAGCAGUUAUCGCCGGAAGAUCGACAGUCUGGCCAAGCUAUGCAUACCCAGAGGCUAGAGGCAGCGACGGAGGCCAGCAUCCUCCCGGAUCUCGUCCAAGAUUUGCGAGCACAAGCUAGCCUUAAGUCGACGCGGCUGGAAACAGGCAUUGAAUGCGACGAGGCAAAUCACACGCCAAGCACAAGCAUGCCAGUGAGGCUGGCGAGGGGCUCGACGAGGAAGAAGAAGACCGGUGGUUCGCGCCCUCCUCCAACGGCUUGUCAAGCAAGAGAAUCCACAAAAUCUGCCGCACAGCAGAGUUUUUGAGCCUGUAAAGCAGAAGCUCACCAGCGCAGUGAAAGGAAAAGGAGCAGGGACAGAACGGCAACCAUGCCAGCCAUCAAAUCUGCAUCAGAGAAGGGAGCAGAGCAUUUCAACAAGCAGCUGGCAAAAGCAGCGGGGUCAAUGCUUGAGAGAAGGGGAGGUGGGUAACCUUCAAUUCCCCUCUCCUCCAUUCAGGUCCAGCUCAAGGAAUAGACAGCAAUGACAUCAGCAACAAGAUCCGACCAUGGACAAAUCUUCAAGGACACAACACACUGCACUGCAGUCAGAGACCUGGAUUGAUGAACACGGCUUCCAAGUGGUAAAACCAGCAUAUUGGUGGCGAAGGACUGGAGACCAUUCAAGAGAAGAUUCAAGGCUUCACCAACCGGACAUGGAAGAGCAUAGGAGGAAGAGGUACAGGGAACAUGUCAGGGGAAAAUGUCUCAAUUGUUUCUCCACAGAACACAAAGCAGCUGAAUGCAAGCAACGCACUAAAUGCUGAAGAUGUCUGCAGACGGGGCACAAGGCCCUCGCCUGCCCAACCUGGAGAGACCAUGUUAAAAGGCCACCACCGGAGACUUAUUCUCAUUCUUGUCAAACCAAGACCAUCCCCACCACCACAUCUUUCCCCCCACUCCUGCUGGCCGGACCGUCUGCACGGCCGGCCGUUUCUACCUUCGGGCAGCAAAGGGCGAGGCAGCUCCCAUGGCGACAUACCCGGGUGACCCGCGUGCCCGCCCAGAAUACGCGGUCUGUGCGCUCUCAGCGACUGGGCACAUCAAGCGCAAGCAGGAGUCCAUGAUCGGCAAGACAGCAGUCUGUUGGCUCAACGGCAACAGCCACGACAUGGAGAUAUGCCACGUCGCUGAUGCCCUUGAAGAACAGCUCCUCAUCAGCCGCCAUGAAGUGCGCGUCGUCAAGCACUUCCCCGAGCAAUAUCUGGUGUUCUUCACCGACUGCCGAGCAUACCAUCGCGCUAUCGACCAGUGGGGCGUCCACAAAUGAGGAAGAGUCUUCAACUUCGAGCCAUGGACAGAGCGUUGGAACGUCGUGGAGAGCAAGCUAGAGUUCCGGGUCAGGCUGCGCAUUGAGGGAGUGGCGCUGCUGCAUGCCUGGUCCGAGGAGGUGGCGGCCCAAGUCAUUGGCCAAUACUGCGCCAUCCACUACGUUGAGGAACACGCACGCCAGUAGGAGUGCACACGAACCUACGAUCUGUGGGCGUGGUGCUCCAACCCCCAAGAUCCCUAAGAAGUUGCUGCUCACCAUCACCGACCCUGACAGGGAGCAGCCGGCAAUCGACAUCCCGCGGCAGCUCGUCAACCCCAACCACGACACACCUGAUGACAUCAAGGGCGCGUACAACUACAAGCUGCACAUCCACCUCGACGUGGUCGAGGACCUCUCCUUCCUCAGAGGGAGGGACGGAGGGGACGGAUAGCACAACAGGAGGCCAUGCCGUGAGUUCCUCUGAAACUACGGGGCACCGGACUCCCAGGGGGAACGGCGCAGUGACCAGUACCAUGAUAACUUUGCAAGCCGCGACUACCACCCACGCCGUGACAGAGACGACCAUGACGACCAGCACCAUCGAGGCACAAGGCGCCACCGUAGUGCCUCUUCCUGGGGGCGAGUGACGCGCUGCCGCGGAGCCAUGGAGGACUGCUACAGCUCCACACACCGCAACGGCAACUAGGUACACUCGGGUCGCCACAACAGAGUCCAGAACAACACAGCUGGCCAGGACAACAAAAGCCAUUCUCUGAUGGCUUGGCGCAAGAAGAGCACAGGAGGCAAGAAGGUCUCCUUUGCAAAUCCUCUGGUGCAGAUCAUGGGUGAGUUUGAGUUUGACCCUAGUUGCUAUCAUUUCCCAGCGCCUUCGAAUUCUGACUUGGUGGGUGAGUGGUUUGACCCCAUGAGGGAAGAGAUGCUCAUCCCUAAUAUUUUUGUAGGCGACCCAGGCAAGGAGGAUCGUAUCCUGAACAUGCUGCACUCGGCAGUGGGAUGGACCCCGGUUGCUUCACCAAGGAGUGCUCCGGAGGAAGGCGAGCUGCCGGAGCCAGUGACCGAGCUGCAGGAACCAGAAGGGCACAACAUGCAUUCGCCAAUCACCAACAAGCAGUCACAGGUCUGUCUGGUUUCUACUCCUCUAGAUGCAUCAGUGAGGCACACACAACAAGCUCAAAUUUCAGAAACUGUCAACACGGAAAACACUAGCUCAUCGCCUUUUGCACAGUACACCAACAGAGUAGAGCCCCCUAAUGUCAACAGAGAAGAGGUGAACGGUAGCAACAUCAUUAGUGAAAAUAACAACAACAUAGCAGCACCGCACAACACCGUAGCUACUUCAGUUAUAUGCAAUGAUCAAGAUAUGGUAGCCACUUCUGUUGAAAAUGGGGAGGGUAACAUAGAGGUCGGUGAGGGUCCUAAAUUUGACGACCUUUCAGCUUUCAUUGAUUUCAUAGCCUGCAAGCCAAAUGCGCAUAUUGUUUGCACUCCACCCAGAGCAAACCCCAUCACAUCAGGCAACGAAAAUCAGGGCCAAAACACAGCACAAAGAAAAAGCUCUAGGCUAGCGGAUAAAGCUAAGCUAAACCCGGGCAAGGACAGCACCCAACUUGCCCAAAAAGUCCUUAGUAAUAAGCUUGGGGAGCUGUCUCCAAAGUCGAAAGUUAAUUCUAAUGCUGAGGUUGAUCAUUUGGUGCAGCACCUUCCAAAGCCACUGACGGACCUGAAGAUGAUGGCCAUCAAAACCUUGGUGGAGCAGGGAAACCAGGCCAAGCACAAGAACAUGAAGAGGAGCAAGAUCACUCCAUCAGCAAUUGGAGAGAUGGAGGCCCAAGUGGCCUGAGGGAUAACCAUCCAGGGAGGAAGCGUUUCAGUGGUUUUUACUUCCCUAAUGUUAGGCAUAAAAUAAUUGAACUUAAACUUAGUCGAAUCUGUAUCUUUAAAUGGGCCAACAAUUAGGCCCUGCGACUUCAGCGGUGCUUUGUAUCGGGCAGAAUGCCCAGCAUCGACGUCCACGAAGCUCGCCAAGCUCUCCUCGAGGCAAUGCUUUAGUGAAAAAACAAGUCUCCUGGGACUUCUCAGCUUUGUAUCAGGACCAUGCGCCAAGCAAUGUUGUCCGCAGGUUGACGCUUUCCAUGAGUCUACUAUUAGUUGUGCACCUCUGAUCCAUGUCACAAAAGGAUUGUAAUGUGUUGUGUUGGAAUGUUCGUGGGCUUAAUGUGGCAGCUAGGAGAGCAAGUGUACGAAGCACGAUUCGUUCAUCCGGAGCAACGAUAGUAUGUCUGCAAGAGACCAAAAUAGCACACUGGACAUCUAAACUCGUGGCAGACACCCUGGGCAAUAAUUUUGCAAAGAACUUUGCUGUGUUACCAGCCCUUGGCACAAGAGGAGGCAUCCUUAUAGCGACAACGGUGAACCAUUUUGAUAUGCACAACAUCCACACCAUCGAUCACACAGUAUCCACAACAAUCACUAUGAAAGUAGACAAAAAAAUCUUGGACACUCACUUGCGUCUAUGGCCCUCAGGAUGAACACGACAAGCUACUAUUUCUAGAGGAACUGAAGAGCCUAAAAGAACAAGUUCUCACGGAAUGGCUCAUAGUUUGUGACUUUAACCUUAUAUAUAAGGCAGAGGACAAAAGUAACAAUAGGCUCAACAGAAACUUGAUGAAUCGUUUCAAGCAGGCAAUUGACAAGAACCAACUGAUGGAAAUCGACCUCCACGGAUGGUGUUUCACCUGGAGCAACGAACAAGAUCACCCAACAUUCACAAGGAUAGACAGGUUCUUCGGUACACCAGAAUGGCAUCUUCUCUUCCCAAACCUUGACUUGCAAGCCUUGCCAACCAUGGGCUCAGAUCACUGCCCAUUAUUUUUAACAGGUGACGUAGAGAGACAGAACUAUAUGGGCUUUCACUUUGAAUCUUAUUGGGUGAACAUGCCAGGUUUCUUAGAGACUAUACAAGAAGUCUGGAGCCAGCCAGUGCAUACUCAAGAUGCCAUACUGCGUAUGCAUGUCAAACUCAUUCGCACAGCAAAGGCACUUAAAUUGUGGAAGAGAAAAAACCUUGGCAAUCUAGCCCUUAGACUGGCAAUAGCCAAUGAGGUGCUAUGCUUCUUGGAUGCAGCUCAGGAACAAAGAGCCCUUACAACAGAGGAAUUAGAAUUUCAACGAUACCUAAAAGCGAAGUCGGUGGGCUUAGCAACGGUUCAGAGAGCCCGUGCAAGACAACACUCCCGGCUCACAUGGAUGCGAAAAGGAGACGCAUGCACACGCCUGUUUAUGCUGCAUGCUAACAACACAAGAAGAAAUCUACACAUCCCGUCCUUAACCACCGUAAAUGGAACAACAAUCAACAACCACCAGCAAAAAGAGGAAAUAAUAUACGAUCACUUCGUAAACCUGUUGGGCAAAACACAAGAGAGAUCCCUCAGCCUAAACUGGACAAAUCUCGGAUGUCAUCCACAUGACUUGACCGACCUGGAAGCACCAUUUGAGGCAGAAGAAAUAAAAAAGGUCGUCAUGCACUUACCAGCAUAAAAAUCACCUAGCCCGGAUGGAUUUAUUGGUCUAUUCUAUAAGAAGUGUUGGGAUGUGAUCGGAGAGGAUCUGAUCCAAGCUCUUCAUGCCUUCCACUCCCUUAGGACCAGACGCAUGGAAUUGAUUAACGAGGCCAAUAUCAUUUUGCUGCCAAAGAAAGAAGGAGCAACCAUGGUUGCAGAUUUCCGACCCAUCACUCUCAUUAAUAGUCUAGCCAAGAUCAUAACAAAGGUGCUAGUAGAUAGGUUGGCUCCGAGACUGAAUGAGCUAGUUUCCGGAUGUCAGAACACCUUCAUCAAAAAAAGAUGCAUUCAUGACAACUUCGUCUACGUACAUAGUGUAAUCAAGGCGUUGCACAAAUCAAAGAGACCGGCACUCUUUGUAAAACUCGAUAUCUCAAAAGCAUUUCAUUCGCUUAAUUGGGUAUUUCUCAUCGAAACAUUACAGGCCCUAGGUUUUGGCCAAAAAUGAGAGAUUGGAUUACAACACUAUUAGCCACCUCAUCAUCCAAGGUGCUACUUAACGGGAGACCUAGGAAAAAAUUGAAGCAUGCUAGAGGCCUCCGUCAAGGAGACCCACUAUCACCCAUGUUGUUCAUCCUUGCCAUUGACCCACUCCAUAAAAUGGUGGAACUAGUAGCCGGCAACAACAUCAUAAGACCAAUCCUCCCCAGAGCGGCAAAGCUACGAUGCUCCCUUUAUGCAAAUGAUGCAGCUAUUUUUACAAACCCAGACAGAGAAGAACUACAACGUAUCGGACAGUUGUUACAUAUCUUUGGAGAAUGUUCAGGACUCAAGAUAAAUAUGACUAAAACGGAAAUAUUCCCUAUCCGGUGUACCAAUGAAACCAUCUUAGAAGCUCUAGAGCACUUCUCGGGAAAAAUUUCCUCCUUCCCUGGAAAAUAUUUGGGCUUGCCUCUUCACAUGCGCAAACUCCGAAGGGUGGACGUCCAACCAUUAAUUGACAAGAUCGGUGGAAGGCUUCCUGGAUGGAAAGGUAAAAUGUUAUCGUCGGCCGGGAGAGAAACACUGGUGAAGAGUGUAUUAACAUCACAACCAAUAUAUCACCUCACAGUUUUCCCUACUCAAAAAUGGCUGAUCAAACAGAUUGAUCACCUACGUCGCAGUUUCCUUUAGAAAGGAGAGGAACCAAAAAAGGUCAAUGGAGGACACUACUUGAUUAAAUGGCCAACAGUAUGCACGCCUAAGGACAUGGGAGGGCUCGGGAUUCUCAACCUCGAGAGACUUGCGAGGGCUCUAAGAAUGAGAUGGUGCUGGUUCCAGUGGAAGUAUAGUGAGAUACCUUGGGUAGGACUUGAUAUCCCGUGCGAUAAGAAUGAUAAAGACCUAUUCUAUGCGUCAACAGUAGUAAUGGUGGGCAAUGGAAAGAAAGCAAACUACUGGAUAGCGCAGGUUUACCCACUCAUGACAGGAGAGGAAAUCAGAGAGUAUGUGCAGCUAUUUGAGGAAAUAAACAUGCUACAACGUGACACUAAUGCGGAGGAUGAAAUAUCAUGGAGGUGGACGCAGGACGGGGAGUAUACCACAAAGAGUGUAUACCGUAUACAAUUCCAAGGCCAACUGAAGAAGUUGAGUAUCACCUCAAUAUGGAAAGCUAGAACUGAACCAAAAUGCCGGAUCUUUGCCUGGCUUCUCCUGCAUAGGAAAAUCUUAAUAGCAGACAACUUGGAAAAGCUGGGGUGGCCUAAUGACCCUCAGUGCAAGCUAUGCAAUUCGGACCUGGAGACACCCACACACCUGUGCAAAGACUGCCCUUACACAACGGCAGUCUGUGACCGGCUGCAGGGAUGGUUUUCUCUUAACCACUUACCCCCAGGCAACACAUCGCUUUCGAUCCACAAGUGGUGGAAGAAAUGUAGGAGCAUGAUCGACAAAAGGAACAAAACUUUCUUUGACGGCCUCAUCAUAUAUUUCUAGUGGAACAUUUGGAAAGAGCGCAACAGACGAAUCUUUAAUCACGAAACCAAACUGGUGGAAGACGUCGCGUUCUCUAUCAAAGAAGACAUCCAACAGUUCCAGUUCGCCAAUAAAACGCAUGAAGCUCCCGCGGUUGAGCCAACCUAGCAGCAUUUUUCAUCUUUUAAAGUGGGGUUUUGAAGUGGAGCUCGUAGUUGUUGUUGUUUUUUCCUUUCUCCCUAGGGAGUGCUAUUUAGUUGGUGCAGUGAGAGCCAUGUACAUAGAGUUAUUUUUUGUUUUAUUUUCUUGUCUUGUUUGGUUUUACCUCUUCUAAUAAAAAUUCGGCAAAGCUUUUGCCGUCCGUUAAAGAAAACAUACAUUAUGAUAAUUUUAUAAAUUUUAAUGGAGACGGGGAUGCAUAUGAUAUACUCCCUCCAUCUAUAUUUAUAAGGCGUGGAAGGACUUAGCACGGUCUUCCAAAUAACACUUUGACCCUUUAUUUAUCUUAUAUUAUAGUAUUUAUAGUUAUAAACUUAUAAUCAUCGUAGAGUAUAUUUGAUUACGAAUCCAACUAUAUAAAUUUUGAAUUAUAAAAAUAAAAAAAUAAUAGUUAAAUUAUUGGUCAAAAAUUGUAAAGUUUAAAUCUUGAUAUGCGUGUGCGCCUUAUAAAUAAAAACGGAUGGAGCAUAUCCCCCAAAUGUUUCUAUAUAUUGUGGAACUCAACUUAACUGAAGGAUAUAAAGACAAGAUUUUCAUAGGAAAUCGAACCAUUUUAAGAGGCGGUUCACACGAGGGAUCUCCUAGGAUAAUGCUAUUUGUGCACAACCAUACCCUUACAUGAACCGUCUCUGGAACCAGAAAUCAUUCCGUUUUCACUUACGGCAGACACGAGUGUAAUGGAGCCGUACAGGUGCAGGAGGGCGAUCCCCAUCUAGACUUUAAUUUGGCCAUGUGGAAGUAGGACACACUAUCUCUAGCACCAGCACCAUGUGUAGUUGGUCCCCCGUGUAUGCAUCAAUGCUGCACCUAUCGACUGUGACCUGGCACCUAACCGGACAGUUGGUUACGGUAGCCAUUCUUGUGAUUUCACAACUCAAAGGCAUCGUUUAUCCUCCCUCUCCCUGCUGCUGCUCAUCCUCCCUUCACUGAACUACUUGUUGCAAUCAGAAGAAAGAUCAAUCGAGUUGAAGAGACAGAUCGGAAGCUAGUCAACGUUGAUUGGUUCGUGAGUGAUGUUAUGAUCCGUCCCUCUGUUAUAACCAUCCAACCCAGCUGGUGCAGAAGCUAAUUACCUGAAGCAAUAUAUUUGUAGAAACGAAUAGUAAUAUAUUUAUAGAAACGAAUAGUACUGGUUAGUUCACUUAUUUCUUUGCUCAAACUUAGCCGUUUGGCAAGGCUUCGUCUUGGGUUAAAAUGACUCCGGAGCUUCGGCUCAUCAAGCAACUUUUUAUAUCUCUAGCUCAUCCUAUUAAAAAAUAUUUGGUAAAAUGAUUUCUCCAAAUUAGUUUGAGGUUGAUAGAAAGAUAAAAUGUCCAAAAUACUCUAAGAACAUAUAUUUUUCAUUCCAUUUUUUUCUUUUCCAUCAUUCUUUUAUUCCAUCUACUAUUUUUUCCUUACGCUUUUUUUUUUGGCCAGGUGUGCCUUAUCCGCUUCGGCCCUUCCCACCAUGCCUUUUUUCCUAUUUCUUUUCUUGCCGAGCGUGCUUUAUCUCCUUCGUUGACUUCAGUAGCACCUGUUGCGUUCGAUGCUCGCGCGGCAGCCCGGGGACCUCGACCUCGCCCGCCUAGGAGCUCCAGCAGCCGGUCCGCUCCGCCGCCGGUGCGGCAACCACGCCGUCGUCAGACCGCCUCACGCGGCCACCGGUCGUCCCCGCGAUACACCGCCGCCGGUGCGCCGUGCGCGGCGGCGCUGUCCCGCCGCUCCGCCGCCUACCGUCGGCCUGCGCCACCACCAGCGCACCGGCAGCACCGCGAGCUGCCGCGCCGCCCCGACAUUGGUCCUUCCCGAGCCCGGUGUCGUCACCAGCGUCGCGGAGAGAAGGUAAGGGGAGUGGCAAUUUUGCAGUAGUUUUGACGAACUUGAGGAGCAAAGUUAAAGCACAUGGCUGUGGGGAAGAGGAGAAGCGGGGAAAGCUACUUUUUAUGACUCACGCUGCUCAGUUCGAUUUGAUGAUUGGCUUCACACCGGCUUUUCCUGUGAAGCCCUUUUCAACUCACCCGUUUGGUAGGGUUUGGCCUGAAGCCGGUUCAUAAGCGGGAGCCAGAGCCCUACCAAAACUAUUUGGUGAGACUAUGAGCCGUUUGGUUCUCUGACUUAUUUUUAGCACAUGUCACAUUGAAUGUUUAGAUACUAAUUAGGAGUAUUUAACGUAGACUAUUUACAAAACCAUUACACAGCUGGAGGCUAAAUGGCGAGACGAAUCUAUUAAGCCUAAUUAGUCCAUAAUUUGACAAUGUGAUGCUACAUUAAAUAUUUGCUAAUGAUGGAUUAAUUAGGCUUACUAGAUUCAUCUCGUCGUUUAGCCUCUAUCUGUGCAAUUAGUUUUAUAAUUAACUCAUAUUUAGUCCUCCUAAUUAGCCUCCAAAUAUUCGAUGUGACACGGACUAAACUUUAGCUCAAGGAACCAAACCUCGCAUAAAUUAGCUGCUUAUUCUGCUGGUUGCAUGCAGGAGAUCGAGCUGCGGGCACACGGCCGGAUCGGAGGAGGACAUAUCAGCCGGGUUCCUGUUGGUUGUGUACUUGUGUUCCUGCCAGCGGAGAAGCAACCAUGGCCGAGUUAGUGAUCGGGCCACUGAUCUCCAUGGUGAAGGAGAAGGCAUCCAGCUACCUGCUGGACCAAUACAAGGUGAUGGAAGGCAUGGAGGAGCAGCGCAAGACCCUGGAGCGCAUGCUGCCAGCAAUCCUGCAAAUCAUCCAGGAUGCGGAGGAGAAAGGAGCCUCCCGACGAGGAGUAGCAGCUUGGCUCAAACACCUCAAGACAGCAGCCUAUGAGGCCAACGACGUCUUUGAUGAGUUCAAGUACGAGGCGCUUCGGCGAGAAGCCAAGAAGAAGGGCCACCACAGCAAGCUUGGAG